AAAUAUAGAAUCCAUCCACUCAGACUUUCACCUCUCGUUGUGGUGGCGGUCCACUUACCUUGGAUAUUAUUUAAUUAAAAGAAUACAAAAGGAGAUCUAACCUUACGACGUCUAGUUAUAAUUGCGGAGAGGCUUCAGGAAAGCAAUAAGCUCAAAUUUAAAGAUACUUAAGAUGGACAAAAGAAACUAUCAUUUAUAUAAGAUAACCGGAGGUUUUAGAGUUCGAUUGCACAAUAUAAUGUACAUUCAAUUUUCAGAAGACUGAGCAACAUCUCCAUGAACCAUAACAAAGUGAAUGAUUAGGGAGGAUUAAAAGAUUGUUCAACUGUUGUAAGUUGCUUCCUUUUUUCUUUUUUCUUUUUUUACUUUUCACGUGGGACUUUGUUCACACACAUACGUAAUGUCCCCCUUGAACUAAGUUCCACAUAACCCAUUAUCAUUCAUGGGUGAAUUGACAAAUUGCAAUCAAUUGAUGCAAAGACGAGUGAGAUAGAGCUAGACUAGUUGCAUUUAAUUUGUGGAAGACAUAAAGAGAUGAACAAAAGUAGUAUAUAUCUUUUCACUGUUUCAGCCGUUCUCAACAUUAUUCUUUUUUUUUUUUAACUCGCACGUCUAAAAUAUGAAAGUAGAGAAAAUAAAAGAUUAGAAUGAAGAUAUUUGGAAUAAGGUGGGAGUGUACUCAGGAGGCAAGGUUGAGAUGACUCGGGCAUGUGAAGAGAAAAUGCAAAGAUGCCUCGAUGAGGAGGUGAGACUCUGGCUAUGGUGGAUAUGAGAAGAGGUUAAGGUAGGCCAAAGAAGUAUUAGUAUGGGGAGAGGUGAAUAGAUUAGACAUGGCACACAUAUGUAGCUUACUGAAGACAUGCCCCUAGAUGGGAGGAUUUGAAAGCCGAGGAUUAGGGUAGAAUUAAAGUUAAUAUGCAUAGUCGAGUGUUGUCUAGUUUUUUGUAUCAUUAUUGUUACUAUUAUUCUAAUUAUACUGUCUUAUUCUUUGAUUUUAUUACUUUUAGUUGUUUUAUUUGCCUCGAUUAUCGUAUUAUUUGAUUGUUGAUUGUUCUCGUCUACAUUAAUGUCAGCAUAGUUUGUUUCACUAUUGUAUUUCCUUUCAAUACUUGAUUUUAAUAUGCUUUAUAUGAGCCGAGAGUCUAUCGAGAUCAAUUUCUCUACCUUCAUAAGGUAGGGAUAAGGCUCCUCAGACCCCACUUAUGGAAUACACCGGAUAUGUUGUUGUUGUAAGUACUCUUCAAACUCUACUGACAAUUUGUACAGAUAUAUCUUGUCACUGCUAUAAUCAGUUAUAUUGUAUUGAUAGUAUAAAAUUUCGUUAUUGUUUGGGACGGAUGGAGUAAUGAACAUUCAAUGUUGAAUUGUUUAAUGUUUUUUCUUUAAUUUCAUCUUUUUGUUUUUCUGGAUAUUUCUUACUUUAUGCUUACCAAAUUUAUUGCAGAUAUAUAGGGUGGUCACAUGAAUUGGAUGUAUCUUAAGUAGAUAUAUAGAAGAUGAUGCUGCCUGCCACGAGACAAAUAUGUACCUCAAUAUACUAGCUAUCUAGCUAGUUAAGUUUUCUUAUUAAGUUAUUAUUAUUAUAUUAUAUAUAUACAUACUGAAGUCUUAGUCUAUAAUAAUUUAGUUAGAUAAUCAGUUUCUUUCAAUCAAAUAACUAUCUUUUGGAAAUUUGUUAAAGGGAUUUCUCCUCUGCUGUAAAUUAAAUUACUUCUCAGCUAUUUUUAUAAACAUACUUUGCAUCAAUUUCAGCAGGAGUCAUAUAUAAUAGUUGUAGUAUUUCAGUUUUUUCUCAGCACUUGGUUCUUUCUUUCUUUCUUUUCUUAUAUAUAAUAGGAGUAUAAUUCUUUUGUGUAUCUGUAGUAUGUACAUAUUGAGCCAGGGCGGAGCCACCGUUCGAGUUACAACUUCAGUAGAACUCAAAAACAUUAGCUCAAACCCUGUAUUUAUAUGUAAAUAAUCUAUUCAGAAUCGAACAAGUAAAAGCAAAUUGUGAUUCAAAAUUCAUAAACUAAAAGUUUUAACUCUGCAUGUGUAUUUUGUGGAGCAUGACUUAUAACAAAUGGACAAGAAAGAUAUGCAUUUUUUUGGGGGGGACUUCUCUUUUCUAAAUUAACAGAUUCUGGUACAUUAAGUGCAUUUAUUAUUUAUUAUAUUUUGACAAAAGUUACAUUAUUAUUACUGAAAUUUAAAAAAUAUAACAUGCUUGCUUGAUAUAAAUAUAAAUCAGUAAUAACUUCAUCUACUUUGAGAUCUUGAUGUAGCCAACAUGGGAGGAAUUUUCCACUUUAACCAAAGCCCCUAGCUCAGGUACAACCAAGCACUUUGAUGACUCUUGUUUGUAGAAAAUGCCCACACAUUUGCAAUCUUUGUUGCACCUAUUUUUGCAUUCACUUAUUUUCAUAGGCCCAACUCCUUCAUUAUAAUCACUAGUAAAAUGUUCAACUCCUUCCACCUUAUAAUAGUCCACAUUUGAUCCUCCCCUACAUACUGGCAACUUUGGUGGUGCACAUCCCUUACUCCACCCAAUCAAGCCUCGAGGGCUCGGACACGCCACACACUGGCUAUCCUCGCAAACGCCUAAUGAUCCACACCUCCUCGGUAGCUUGCAUUCACUUUUUCCAUCGUUGUCCCUAUCGAGAAGUCGAUAUGUGACUUCCCAUGCUCCCCAAUCAACAUUUGGUUCAUAAGUGUACAUUCUUAAAUUACCAUCCAUAUCAACUCUAAACAUAGUGUAUGUACUAUUGUAUUUGGGCCUAGUAAAUAUAGAAGUACCAGAGCUAGGAGAAUUGGUCAUGUUAAUCCUAAAUCCUAGCUCAAAAGCAUAAUUUUCACCAUAUUCUGGCUCACAAUAGAAAUCAAAAUUGGCUAAAGAGCCUUUCCCAUUACCAAAAUCAUCUGAUUUGAAAUAUGGUAAAGGCUUUUGUGAAUUUACACUUAUAUAAUACAUGGCCCAAUGUCUCCCUUCUAGGACAAAACUAUAAGGCCCAUCAACAGGUUCUUUACUGGACUUUCUACUAACAAGCUUAGAUGGGCCUUUAGCCCUUAAACUUUGGCCCACCAAAAGUGUAUCCGUUGGGUGAUCAAAACUUUGCCAAACAAAUCUAUCAUUUUUGUCAUGUAAAACCAAGUUGCCAUUAGGCAAAAGUUUUAGCCCUGUUACACCUUUGUUGGCAGUAUUGGUAUGCCAAGCUACCGUGCCAUCGACAUCAGUUAGUACCAAAUUCCCAUUAGUACCAAACGUUAGAGUGGCGUUUUCGCGGACAGGCUUACCACGAUUAGCCUCCCAGACCCAUCGCAUAAUGGACUCAGAUCUACGAUGACCCAUUCGUAGCCCAAGUAUGAAGGUGUUUGGAGUAGAAUUAAAGAAACAAAGGGUGAAAGGGAAGUUGACAAUGUCCAACACACGAUAAUCUGCAAAAUAUUCAACGGAGUAUUCGCCAAAUGAGCCUUCAUUUAUGUACUUGAAGGUUUUGGAAGGAGGAACAUUGGCUAAUGUUACUAUGAAUAAGGAACAAAGUGUUAUUACAAGCAAAGAAGACAUUGUUUUUGGUUUUGUGAAUGAACAAUUUUUGAGUUACUAUAUUUAUACUAAUAAAAAAUUGUUUAAUGCUAUAUCUUAUCCAGUGGAUCAAUAUAUCCCUGUAUUUGACAAAGGCAAUUGUUGACUUUGACAAAUUCAUCAUUGAUCAAACUUAAACAACACACUUUUGAAUCCACUAAUUAAUUAAUUUCUUUUCACAAAUUAAUGGUUUUAGACCUUUUGGUUCUGGUCAAUGAAACCAUGAACCAGUUAUAUAUAACUUUUUAUUUUAAAAAGAAAUCCUUAUUGGAAGAACAUUAAUGGCUAAAGUUGGAUCUAGCUAUAGAAGCAUCCACGCAUGGUUGACAUUUAAAUUAUACUAUAUACUAGUGAUGGCUAGCUAUGUGCUUACGUACGUUAUAUAGUACUGGUACUUAUUAAUUAGUUGGAUGACAUUAAUGUUCAAUUUAAUGGAGUUCAUCGUACGUUUUCUUAGGAAAAUAUGUCGAAUCAAGUUGUUGAACUUUUAAUUGCUCUACAAUACAAACAUUCAGAUUUUCUCAAUCCUUUAAUAGUGAUAUAUGUACACGGCAAAGUUCAUGCAGUUUGGUUUAUUUUGAAAGCGAAAUCAAUAUUAAAAAAUUUAGAUAUGUGAAAACUAUAUGAAAAAUACUAUGAAUUGUAGUGAUAUGAUGAAAAAACACAUUUUAAAAUGUUGGUGUAAAGGAACGUACAGAGGGAAUAAUUUGUAGAGAUGGAAUUAUCAAAAACAUAGGGAACCCUACAAGUAUUUGGAUGUACAUAUAAAGUUGGCCUGUAAUUCUGUGUGGUACACUUUUUGUGCCAUCAAAUAUUAGCUGUGAAAGUUUUUCAGUGAAAUUUAGUGUAUGUCAUUUGGUUGGUCAAGGGAUACUGUUGCAUGUACGUAGAUCAGACAACUUUGAUGAGAUCGAGUGGUCCUUUAGAGUGCUGCACAUUUUGUUUGAACAAGUAAUUUGAAUUUCUUAAAUUACGUUUUUAAUUUUCUCAUAAAUAUAAAAACUCCAUACUAUGUGAAAACUAUCAAUUGUAGUAUAUAUAGCUGCUAAUAUAUCUGCACAUAUUUAUACAAACAUGGAAACAUUGAAUAUGUAGGUAUAAAUUAUAUACAUAUUAGUAACUACCACACAAGAAAUGGGAGUCAUAAUGUAUGAGUUAUGACACUUUUUUUUUGGAGAAAUUAUUUAUAUCGAUCUACCACGUACGUCUUUAAUUUCUACACUUUCGUGUAAAAGGAAGCCAUCAUUGAGUAUGCUUUUCUUAAUUAUUAAUUAUAUGUAUAUAGGUCUACGUAUUGUAAAAGGUUCAUGAUAAUCAUAUUGUUUAAAGCAAUUAAUGUUCUUCUGUCGCACUUUGGAAGAAAAUAUAGUUUUUAAUGGCUGGAGUCUAGAGUGGCCUUAAUCUUUUGCACUAGCAUAUACAAAAAUAUACACAGUGUGAUCUGUCGAAGCCAAAUUUAUUUUUCAUAAGGUUAGUUGAGUCACGUACAACGUGAUGUCCAAUAAAACACAAGGAAGUUUACAAAAAAAAAAAAUUCACUUUUUUUCGAAAUUGAACUCUAGUCUAAACAUGUUUGGCCAUGAAGUACAAAAUUCAACUUAUUUCUAAGAAUUUGAAAACAAUAAAAAAGUAUGGCCAUAAAUUUUUCACUUUAAAAUAAAAAUUAUCUUUUUCAAAUUUCACAAUGAAACAUUGUCAAAGACCCGCUUAAUUUAGCUAUUCAUCCGUAAAGAAAAACAGGGAAAUUUAUAUAAAAUUACGUUACCAAGAUAUCUUCUUCUUCUUCUUUAAAAAAAGAAGAAGGUACAAUUUCAGUAAAAUAAAUCAAGGUGCCUAUUGGGGUCUUUUCAGGGAAUGGAGUGUGGGAGAGAAGAAGACAAUUUCAAUAAGUAAGAUAAAUCAACAGGGUCUAUUUAACUUGUGCCCUUCACCACUGUGUUGGGAUACUAAUUUAUUAGAAAACCCUACAACAACAAAAAAUUCUCCAAAAUAGUGUCUCCUAUGACGAAAAAAUUAAGUAUAAAGUACAGAAACCUAAUUUGGAUUAAUUACAUUCUAUUUCGAAAGUUUUUUAAAUUACAAUAAUAUCGAAUUUUUCAAAAUUCGUGGAUACAUUGCUCCUUCACCCGAUACACAACAAACGAUAUAUAAGUUAUGUAUCAGAUACAUAAUUAUAAACCAAAUUCAUACUGAUUUAGAUUUGAAAUAAUUGAAGUUUUUUUUUAUCAACAAUAACAUUUGUACCAUACAUUAUACACAAAGAAAAUUGUAAUGUAUCUGGUGGAGGUGGAAUGAUGUAUCAGGAUGUUAAGAGAGAGAAGGAAAAAGGGGAAUUUUUGUAAUUAAUUUUAAUAAUAUGAAUUUUUAGAGAUUAUGCUAUCUUAAAUCGUUUAAUUACGUAAUUUUCCCAAAAAAUAAUUAUGAAAUCUUUUUGGAAAAUCUUUCUUUUUAACAUUUUUUUCCCUUCUGAAUUGUAUUCCCUGAGUACUUCAGUUUGUAAUAAUUUAGAAACACAAUCAGUACUUGCUUGGUUGUAAAUGAAAGCGACGAGUCAUAUAGGAGCUAAAGACAAUACCAGAAACGCUUACACAAAUAAAGAUGAGCAAAUACAAAGCUAUUUUUUUCGGUAAUAAAUACAAAGCUAUUUAUUACUACUAUCAAAGAAAAACGACCAAACAUCCAAAUAAAACUAUUGAUACUUAUUUGGUAGGAAGGAUAAGGGAUAACUAAUUUUAAUUUUAGGAUAAGUCCAUUUUAUAUUCGAUUGAAAUAAAAUUAUGGAAUACUUUAUUUUGAAAUUAGUUAUUUUGGAAUUAUAAUGUUAUUUUUAUCCACAUUAAAAACAAAAUAAUAAUCCUUAAAUAAAUCUUGAAAUAACUUAAUCACCAAUCAAACGAGCCCUGACAAUUACAUACUACUACCUAAUUCAUGGCUAGUUAGGGCUUAGGCAGCCAAAUUCAUUUGUUAGGUUGUUGCUUGCAUCCUAAACUAUUAAUGUCGGUCCGUCCUUGAGAAAUGACAAAAAAAAACUCAUACUAGAGACUUUUCUUUAAUUUUUAAUCAAUGUAGAAAAAAAUGAUACUUACUUUUAUUAUAAUUUAACUUUAAAUUAUUUUUAUUUUUUAUGAAAGAAUUUAUAAUCACACAAAUAUUAUAAUUUAUUAUUAUUUCUUACCACAAAUUUCAAACACAUUUCUUUCAUUCUUAGGUUAAUUUCAUAAUAUUCAGUAAAACAUCUCCACGAUAUAAAGGAGCAAUAUUUUCUUAUCUAGCUGUAUCAAAACUAAAUUAAGUAGGCGUUUGGCCAUGCGAUACCAUAUCACGAUAUGGUAUCGUGAGAUGGAAUCAGCGUUUGGACAUGCGAUUUUACACUGAUUCCAUCUCAUGAUUCCAUAUCAUGAGAGGUGAUACCCUAUUCUCCAAAAAUCAUGAUAUGGAAUCACCAUGAUUUGAGAUAUUUUAAUACAAUAAUUGAUCCAUGAGUUUAUAUUUUGUUAAAACAACCCCACAUUUAUAUCUACUAACCAUUUGUUUCAUAUGUAAAUAACAUUUAUAAUCACAUCAUUACUUUUUAAAAUUUAUUAUUCUCACCAAUAUAAAAUUUAUUAUUACUUUAAAUUUGGUGAAUAUAAAUGAUAAAGUAGAAAUUCAUUUGAUGAAUAUAAAUAAGAACGAAGGGAGUAAUACUUUUUUGAUUUUUCAUAAUAAAAAAAAAAAGUCUUAAUCUUAUGACUAAUUAGCAUAAUAUUGACAAAAGACAAUUUUCAUUGGCGGUGCCGCGCUUUCUUAAUCUUAGUAUUCGCAAAAUGUUCGUUCACAUGACUGAAGAAUAUCAAGUCCAAUUGAUUGAGGACUUGGGAAAAUUUGAUCAAUUAGUUAUUAAUAUUUAGUCAAGUGGACUAGUUAUAAUUUUUUUGAUUAAAUUUUAUUAGAAGUGUUUUUGAUUCAAACUUGUGGUAACUUUUUAAAAUUUCGUUAUUCAAUAAUAUUUAACUAUUGAUUUUUCUUGUAAUUAAUAGUUAGAAGUCAGUGAUGUUUGUUAAUUUUUAUCUUAGUGUAUUUAACUUCUAAGUUAAUAUUUACUCACUAAUGUAUGUUUUUUUCUACUUUAUAGGUUAUUUGUAAGAGUAGUUGAGAGAUAUGAGCAUAUCAAGUACAAUUUAUGUUCAAUUUUUUAAUUAAAUUAAAGUUAGAUGAAACAAUUACUUAAGUGAAGAACAAAUAACUUUGUAAUAAUUUAUUAUGCGAUUUUAUAAUUUUUGUUUAUUUGAUAAGAUUGAAUAAACAAUUGGGGCUAUUUUAAUAGUUUUACAACUUAUGGGAUUUUUAUGUUUAUGAGAAAAUAUACAACACAAAAAUUCCAUAUCGCAUGUCUAAACAAACCUUCAAUUUCAUCUCAUGAUUCCAUAUCAUGAUACCAUAUCGCAUGGCCAAACGGGCCCUAAGUAAGUACAUCUCAUAUCCUCAAGCUCCUUUGAAUUUUUGCCCUUCUCUUCAUUUUAAAUAAAGUUUGAUUAUACAUUUGGUUGGUUUUUGAAAAGUUUCUUGAAGAUGAGUUUAAGUUUUAAAAAGUGUUCUUGACAUUUAUCAGGCAAUUUUUUUUCACACUAGAUUUUUUUUAAUUUUCUUUCAAGUUAAAUACGACAUAUUUAAAUAUGACUUCAACUUUGAAAUAUUUUUUUCAACUUUUUGUUAAAUACUAUUUUGGUUCAAACAUCAAAUUUUUAUGUUCAAAGAUAGAUAAAACUUCAAUAUGCUAACAUAUCAUCAACCAAAUAUAACAUAAAUUGUUUUUUAGAUUUAAUUCUAAAUUUUCUACUAAACUUAAAAUUAUCUGAUUGAUAACCUCUCAAAUGAAUAAAUUAGUCUAAAAUUAAAAACACAAGAUGAUUUAGACCACGCAUCAAACAGCUAAAUAAAUGUUCGACUAAUGAAGAUAAGAAGUCACAAGAUUAUUAGAGUAGAUUAUAAACUUUGCUUCAUAUGUUCUAUUAAUAGUAGGCUGCUCUCUAGGCUCUAGAUUUAACCAAUUCCAAUUGAUGGUAUAUAAAGAAAAAUUUGAGGUACUAUGAAAUUUGUAUUAAUUCCCUGUUUUUAUUUAUAUAUCACUAUUUUUUAUUUCACGUGCAUUAAGAAACUAAGGAAGUUUACUAUAUUUGGCUCUUAUUUAAUUUUUUUUGAAGUCAAUUUUUCAAUCAAUAAAUAUCUUGAAUCCAUUCUUACUGGUCUCAUAUUUGCUGCUAGAGACAAUAGGGGGCUAAAAGAUCUACUACUUUAAUUCCUGUUUCAAAAAUAGAUAAUUUUGUAUCCAACUGUAUAAAGGAUUCCCCCGGGGAGCUACUUGAAUAGCAGGCGGCAUAUGUCCUGAUUCUGAUUCUGAUUGAUCCACCGAUGUGCCCGUUUCCGUAGAUUUUUCCCAUGAUUCCAAGAGGACAUCAAUCCCAAAAUGAUCCUCUUCAAACUCAGUCCCGCUUGCUUGCCCGGAAAUGUUAUGAAAGGCGGGUGUUCCUAGUGGGCUCGUUGCCACUAGGCAUUCAUCUUUGAUCCUGAUCGGCCGACCUUUUCGAUCCCGACGCUCCUACCCACUCCGGGGUACCAUAGCAUGUCGGGAAUAAGGGGGGGCAUAGUGGACGUAACCACUCCCUUGUUUUACUUUGAUUAAUUGAUUUGACCAAUGAACAUGAUUUAUUUACUUCGUUUUUCUAUGUUGGUCAAAUGUAUAUUUUCAAGGUUAAUAACUCACAAGGGUAAAAUAAAAAGAAUAUUAUAAUUUAUCCAUUUAUUUUAUAAAAUGACAAGUACUAUGGAUCAAUUAUUUAUAGUAAAAAUGACAUAUAAAAAGAAACGGAUGUAGUAUUGUACUAACAUCGGAAAUGAAAGUAAUGAUAAUAGAUGUAUGGUUCCUUUCAUUAUAUUUUUCUCGGAUCUCAGACAGCUAUUAUCUUUCUGAAAUUAUGUAUAUAGUGGAGUAUUAUUAUUAUUAUUAUUAUUAUUAUUGGUAGAGUUACUUUAAAUGUUUAGUUAAUUAAUAAAAUAAGUGUCUGAAACCUUAUCUUUUAACCUAUAAAUAACUUUAAAGAAAUUGAAUAGCAUGUGCUACUACUCUUUAAUUUAUAUUUAGUUUGGAUUAUUUUAUCCCAUAUUUUUCUUCCUUUACUUUUUUGAUAAUAGUAGGGGCCAAUUUUGACCUCAGUAUUAAUUACCAUAUAAUAGCAGUAAUAAAUAAGUAUAGAAGCUUGAAAAUCUUCGGUAAAAAGAAAUUGUUUUUAACGUUUUGAGUUUAAGUUCAACUUCAAGUUCAAGAAUAUAGUGUAGAUUGUAGUAAUUAAUGAACUGAGUUAAGAUAAAAAUAUCAGAUAAUUUUCUUAAUUUCUGUCUAGAUCUUUGUAAACAGAACAGUCUAAUAUAAUACUAGUAAAAAUAAUAGAUAUUUUGUAAAAUUAAUCCGUUUUUUUUUAACGUCAAACAUAUAUAUAUCUGAAGAAGAAAACUAGAAAGUGUUGGGUCAGCAAUCUUUUCGUAGGCUUUGGAAUAUUUUGGGGCCCUUGACCUUUAUGUAAAUGGCCUGACAAUAAUUAUUACUGUACUGCUAUUACUACAAUUUAUUUAAAUUUUUUGGACAGAUAAGAUAUUUAUUUAUUUGCAGGAAUUAGUUGAAGUUUGCGCCAACUAAGAUUCCGAAAGUUAAACGACAUCCAAUGAAUCAUAUAUUAGUUGAAUGAAUAUAUAGAUUUAUUGAUUAUUAGUUGAAGUCAACUACGUCUAUACUGACAUGAAGAUGCUCUCUGUUUCUAUUUUUAACCCUUUUUUUUAGUCAAGGAAAUUGUGUUGUUAGAUCUACUUAUGGCUAUAUGUAUUUAGUAGUUAAUCUUGGAAAAAUUUAAUUUGUUUUUGGGGGGUGGGGGGGUUAAAUAGUUUUUUCGUUUCAACGUGUUUAUUUGAUUUUUAUUUUUAGUCUGCUUAAAAAGGAAUGGUAUUUUCUUUCUCAUUUGAUAACUAUUUAAUUUCAACUUUUCACGAGAUAUAUUUAAGACCACAAGAUUAUAAAAUAUUUUUAUAAAUUUAUUAUUCAACAUAUUUUUAAUAUAAAAUUGUAAGAUUCAAAAAAGAAGUAAUCUUUUUUUUUCAUGUAAAAUUAAAGUCAGACAACUAAACUAUGAAUGAGGAUAUUUUAUUCCUUUGGAGUUUUGAGACAAAAUAAAGAGCACAAGAUCUAACAAGAAUCCACAUGAUUGACUGUAAUUCUUGUUUCUUUCUUUGAUGAGAAAGUUGAAGACUGUGAUUUAAUUGUCUGUUUGGAUAACUUUUUCGAAAAGUUUUUGACAUAAUGAUUUCUAAAUAAGUAUUUCGAUGAUUGUUGUAAUUUUAUGUAAUUUUGUUAUGAGAAGUUUCAUGGAAAAGGAUUUUAAAAAAAAUACUUCUAGCAUUAUUGGAGUGAAAUUGCUUUUAAAGUACUAUUAAUUUUCGAAUUAAAAAUUUAUUUUUAGUCCACGUAUAAGAUUUCAAUUACCCUAUAUCGAUUAGUAGUAUUUAUUUUUGUUAAAUUUAUUGUAGCUGACUCUAAAAGAGAAAUAAAAGCCAAAUAUUAUCUAAAAGUGUUUUUGAAGAAGCAGAAUAUUAUUGUCUAUUAAAUAUAUGCCUCGCCUGUAUUUAUCUUAUUUUUGAGCAAACAUAGGAAAAGCCGAUCAUAUAUAACACUUUUGUCGUUAAAUGUCUUAAUCUUAAGGAAGAAGCUCCUAAUGUUAUGCUGUAAUGUUAUUCCUUUUCUUGAGCUAGUAUAGGAGAAUAAUAUAUUUUCCAUCAUCCCUUUUUCCGUUCUUAUCACAUGAUUUAAUUAUCAUAUAAUUGUAUAUUUGAGAAAAUCAAAAUAUAGUUAAAUCUUUAAUUAUGAAGGUUAUGUCAUCGUCCUAUAGUUAUAUCAAAUCAAUUGAUGCAUGACAUAUUAGAAGAUUCUCAACUCAAGUUAGCUAAAAAAUUUAUCAACAAAUGAAAGAUUUAGAUAAUUAACAAAUGAGCUUUUAAUGUGUAUUAAUAUAAUGUAAACAUCGUUAGACUUUAUUAUAAAGAUUGCAAAUAAGUAUUUAUCAUUCCACUUUUGAGUCCUACUAUUAUAACAGACAGGUUAGGAACAAAUAUCGUUGAAACAAUACGACUAGUUUAAAUAAUAAAUGUAAUAUAUGACACUUAUCCUAAUUUGUAAUUACUAAUUACUGUUUUGGGGAGUAAUGUUAUACAAUUAUCACUUGUUAUCAAAGAAAGAGAGUUGUGGAGGGUACGUAUACUUCCUUCCUUUUUAUUAGUGUGGUAUAUUAAAAAUAAAAUAUUUCUUUUUCUACUUAACAAUUUAUUCUUAUCAUAAGUAAUUAUUUUUACAAUUAAUUGAUGUACUAAUACAGGCCAAUUUAUUUUUUCGAAGCCUAAUUAGUUAAUAGAUUGAACAAUUUAGUUAUACUUUAGCUGUAAUAACAUACUCUAGAUAACAACUUAAAAAUAAAGAAAAACAAACAAUAUUUGAGAAUAUGAUUAUCAAUGCAAAAUAAUCACGAAUGACAAAUUUGUGAUAUAUAUUAAAGAGAUUACUUCACACAAUAUGUGAGUGUUUGACGUUUAUUGUCCUUCAAGAAAAUAGAGAAUCAGUUUUUUUUUUUCUUUUCUAUUAUUAGCACUUAGAAAAACAAAAGUACUCUAUAUUUCUUAUUCAAUAUAUAAUGGCGCCGUGCCGUGACCUACCAUACACGGCGGAAUAAACAAACGCUCAUGGGAACCCCCACUAUUCAAAUAAAAAAUACAUGAAGGGCAACAUUGUCAUUUCCGUCUGCUCUUCCCCACCAAUUCCGGACACUAAAAAUGUAUAACCAUAAUGCAAAAUUCCAAUUUACCCCUUCAAAUUAAAAUUGGGGGUCGUAAUUACCCCUUUAAAUAAAUUACAAGGUGAAAUAUCAAAUUCAAAAAACGUGUACUUGAACUUAAGGAGGGUAAAAUGCAAUUUUAUUAGUCAUAAAGGGCAAGACAGUCUUUCUACUGUGGUUCAAUCUGUAAUGAUACCACCCACCCAGGAAGAAUGGCUUGCAGAGUUGGCAAUGUCGUUUCUCUUUGGACGAAUUCACCAUUUUCACUCUCUCUAAGCUGAAAACUAGUAGACCCAUCGUUUUCUCUCUCUAGAUAUACAAAUUUUCUAUCUCUAUACAUCACUCUCUCUAUCUAACCAGUAGUUAAGCUGCUCCACUCCUUCAACUACCCCUCUUUACUUUCUCUCUCAUCAUUCCAUCAUUUAUUUCUCCUAUAUUUAUUAAUUCUCUCACAUUCAAUAAAAGAAUACUAGUAGGCAAAGUAGAGAGAGAGAGAGGGAGAGGUGAAACGGAACGAUGCCGUUGGUGAGAACUGCGGUGAGGAAUGUGUACGGAUUGGGAACGCCGGAAUUGUAUCGAGACUCCGAGAAGGAGGAUCCAAAGGCGGUGCUUGACGGAGUUGCAGUCGCUGGACUCGUCGGGAUCUUGCGUCAGCUCGGCGAUCUCGCUGAGUACGUUUUUUAAUUUUUCAGAAGUUUUUAAAACACAUUUGUUCAUUUUCUGCUCUUUGCCAGCUUUAAAGUUCAAUCUUAGUGAACGUUUUCCGAAAAAAGUUUCAUCUUUGAUUUUUCCGUGGUGAAGCUGAAGUAAUUUCUGGAAAAAUUUAACUUUUUUUGUACUGACUAAACGGAAGUAUUGCUGAAAUUGGCUAUAUUUCGAAUUAAGUUUAUAGCUUAGUAAAGUUACACUUUUUUUCGAUGAGAAGGAAUUAUCUGAAUUUUACUCGUUGUUAUCAGCAUCUUUCUUUCUUCUUGUUUUCAUUCUUUCAUAAUUAUUUCCCUAGUCUUAGUGCAUGCAAAAUAAGUUGUUCCUCAGCUCCACUUUUCAUGACACAAGUAUGUUAAUUUGACUGGUAGAUUAUAUAUAAGUAGUGGAAGAAAAUGCUAAUGUGGUUUAAAUUUUCCUUGGUAUCAAUGCAGACUUGACAAAUGAUAGGGAACAAUGAAAGAAAAAGAUUCAUAUAUGUCAUGCUAUACUAGUUGAGAAUAGGUUUUAGACUUGUUAGAGAACUUCUAAUAUUAUGGUUAUUAUUAUUUAUUAUAUAUAUUUGAAAUUAUUUUUCACUUUAUUUUAUUUAGUACGAUGAUGACGUGAAAUGAAGAAGUCGGGAUUCAUAUAGUCCACUUCUAACUUGAGAAUGAGGUGUAGUUGUUGUUGUUUGAUUUGGAUUUUUGAAACUAUAUUAGUGAUGUCAAACACUUCUGGUUAUUUCAAAUGGAAAAAUGUCAUUUAAAUUAGGAGAAAAAAGAUGAUGUCUUAUAAAUAAGAAAAAAAAGAAGAAGGUAACUCCUUUUUCUGUUCAAUUUGGUUACUUCGGAUCUACCUAAGUCAAGUUGACUGGAUUUUGGGGAAAAUGAGAAAAGGAUAAACUUUUCAUUCGAAGAUAGCAAAUAGAGAUUUACCAAGGAAAUUUGUGGUAAAAGGUUUUGUCAUAUUGACUCUAGAGAAUUGUGAAGUGAAAAAAUAUUUAGACGAAAGGGGUAUCUGUAUAGUGCGUUCAAUAUAAUCUUACUCUAUGGCCAUCAUGCUGUAAGGAAAAAAUGUUUGUAUUUGGGAAGUUUAAUGUUAUUCUGCUUACAUUUGCAACAUUUAUGAUGAGGCACUUGGUAAACAUGAUCAGAGGAAGUUUAGCUAUUGAUAAUCUUAACAUGUGACUGCAUUGCAAUUGUUGUCUUGAUUACUUGAGUGGUGGUUCUUCACAUGUACAUUCGGUUGUAAACUUGACCAAGGCUUGUGGCAGUCAUCUUGUACAAUAUGGUGGUUCUAGCAUUCAACAUUAAUAUAUUGGGUUUAAGGAAUUGGCACCUUUAAAUUUGUUAUUAGUGAAGAAUCUUUCUUUUUCUUUUCCUGUGAAGUGCAUGCUAGUCUGCUAGAAACAAGCUAUUUAGGCUAAUUGGAAGAUAUGGUUGAUUUCAGUAUGGUAGUGAUGACUAGUAUGACCAACAAAAACUCAGCAGAAAGUCCUUAAUUGUUAUAGCUCAUACAGAUUAUACAGAGUAGUUAUAAUGCAUCUAAGAAAUGGUAAAUGCUGGGCCAGCAUUGCUAAAAUGUAGUUUAAUGUGACCCCCCAUCCCCAGGAUAUAGCUUACCGAUCAAUGAAGUUUUAAUGAAGACCAUGAGAGAUCAAGGUUUGAAUUCUAGCAGAGGCAAAAAAUUAAGGUGAUUUGUUUCCAUCUGCCUAAGCCUUGACAGGUAAAGUUACCUGAUACAUGUGAUACAUGUACCUGUAUUGGUGUAAAGAUGCAAGUACCUGUGAUAACAUUGAGGUGCAUGCAAGCUGGUAUAGACACUCCAUUCUAUUCCAUAUAUUAGAAAAAGAAGAGGAGUUCAAUGUGGUGGUCUUACCUUCUUAUCAGAGGUUAAUGGCUCCUUGCCUUUUGGAGGAAGAAGUAAUGAAUUGUGCUUAACUAUGCAUUUGAUUUCUGUUGGGCAGAAUUCUUUUGUUGCUUUUGGGUUGUUUUCUGAGUUUUAGUUCUAGUAUAUCUUUUACUGCAGAUAACUUAAGUGCUCUGAAUUAGCCAUCUGUUAUUUGGAGCUGGGGUUGAUAUUGAUAUAUAAGUUGCAGGGGGUAUUUCAAACAGCCAAUACUAAUAUGUUUGACCAAGCUUCUGAGAAGCCAAAAGUGUUUAUAUUAGAGAAUUGGGAGUGUUUGGCCUAGGUUUUAGGUAAAAAUAAAUGCUUCGAAUAGUAGCAGAAGCUGGAAAAAAGUAACUUUUUCCCAGAAACACUCCUGCAGCCUUGGCCAAGCACAAAUUAGUGCUCUAAUAUUGGCAAAAGUGCUUACCAAAUUGAUUAGCCAAACACAAACUGCUACUCUUCAAAAUCACUUUUUCAAAAAACUACUUUUGACAAAAUAAAAACACUAUUCAAAAUAAGCAGAUUUUGCAGCUUGGCUAAACAGGCGAAGUCUCAAAAGUGUUAUCAUUUUGUCUUAUCCUUUAAGAUCAACACAAGGUCCUUAGAAGAUUGGGGGUACAUACUAUUAUCUAUUGCUCUAUAGUAAUUUUUGGACUUCAUUUGUUGGAAUGAGAUACAUGUAAGUUUACUCUCAGUUUGAUGUCCAAUUAAGGAUUGGAAAAGUAACUUUUGAAUGCUUAGAACAUAGUAAUUAAUAUUAGUUUUGUACUUGUAGAUUUGCAGCGGAAGUGUUUCAUGGCUUACAAGAGCAAGUGAUGGUUACAUCCUCAAGAAGCAAUAAGUUGGUUGCUCGGGUGCAAAAAAUUGAAGCUGCACUUCCUCCACUUGAGAAAUCAGUAUUGGCACAACGGAGUCAUUUACACUUUGCUUAUACAGCUGGUAUGACUUUUUAAUCUCAAUUACUGGAUUCCUUCUACCGAUGAUAGAAGAUAGUGGGAAUGGGGGAAAUUUGGUUUUAUUUAUCUCACUCAGAUAUAUCUGUCUAUGAUUCAAAUGAUGUUCCAAAUAGUUCCACAAAGGAAGUUUUGGUUGUAGGAAAUACUUCAAUUUUGGUGUAUUUGGAAUAUCUAUUUCCGCAGAAAUGGCUUCUUUUCCCGUUCGAGUUUUUAUUUUUUUAUGGAAGCAGUUGGUAUGCAGGAUCCAAUUGGCAUGCCCGUAUCCGUAGUGAACAAAAUCAUUUUAUAUACAAUGACUUGCCAAGAUUUAUCAUGGAUUCGUAUGAAGAAUGUCAUGGUCCGCCACGCUUGCAUUUGCUUGACAAGUAUGUGAACUCACCUUUAUAGCUAUAUUUGUAUAUCCUGAUUGCACUGUUACACUCGUGAAACUUUUACUUGUCUCUUCAGAUUUGACCCUGGUGGACCUGGAUCUUGCUUGAAAAGGUAUUCAGAUCCAACUUUCUUUAAGAGAGCAUCAGUUGGAUCAGAUGAAGAAUAUAUUGCCAAAGUCCUAAAAGAAAAGAAGGGUCGGAAGAUUAAGGUAUCUCACAAAUUAUUCUGAAAUUACCUGCCACAGCUUAACUAGUGUAGAUUGACUUGGGAUUUUUAUGAGCAGUAUCUUUUUUUUUUGAAACUGGUAAGGCUGAAUUCUUCAGCAUUAAGGGUAUGCUGGCUACCUCCAGAAAGGGAUAAUUACAGAUUUCCUAUCAAAUCUAUAAUCUGGUCUAUAUCAUCUAUACAAAGCUGUUUACACCAAAAAAUUAGAGAUACUAUACAAUUCCAUUUAACUUUGUGGAUGGAAUUGGAUCUAUCUUCAAAACAUCUUCCAUUUCUUUCUUUCCAGACUGAUGGUAUUAGCUUCCACCAUCUCUUUUGACUCUUACUGCCUCCCCUCCUAAUCUAGCAGCUCAACAGAUCUGAUGUAUGUUCUGGCAUUGUCCAGUUCAUGCUUGUGAUGUUGAGAAACAAGUUCCAAAUUUGAGCAGUAAACUUGCAUUACUUACAAUGCAGGAAGAGAUGGUUAUUUGUUUCCCCUGUCAAGUUGCACAAAAAACACCUAGGAACCAGUUGUCUGCCUUUCUUUUGUAGAACUUCUUCUGUUAAACAUGCUCUCUUUAUCACUAACCAGGUGAAACACUUUACUUUUGUAGGAAUGUCACUCUUCCAAAAGUAGUUCCAAUUAUAUUUUGGGGCCCCUGUCAUCCCCAUUAGUCCUCUUUUGUAGGCAUUGCUGACUGAGAAGACUCCAUCCUUGCUAUGUUUCCACAGGAUCUUGUCUGUUGCUGUUGUAGUUAUAAUCAUUCCAGCUAGUUUUUCCAGUAGCACUGCCACCCUCUCCACCUCCCAGUCAUUAAGUAGUCUUCUUAAAGAUAUGUCCCAUCCCUUUUCUUUCCAAUAAUCACUCACUCUAGCAUCAGGGUUCUCACAGAUUAGAAAUAAAUCUGGAAAAAGUUCUCUAAGAGAGGUUUGGUCUAUCCAACCAUCUUUCCAAAAUUUACUUUUGUUUCCAUUACCCACCUUAAUAUACACAUUUCCUUCCAUUUGUGGCCAUAGGUUCCUGAUUGUCCUCCAUACCCCCACCCCAUAUGGUUUAGAGGUGAUUUUUGUACACCAGAGAUUUAGUUCUCCAUAUUUUGCUACUAUAACCUCCUUCCAGAGAGCUGCAUCUUCCUCAGUGUAUCUCCAUAGCCAUUUCAUCAAAAGGCUUUCAUUUUGCAGCCUCAAAUUUCUGAUCCCUAACCCCUCUUCUUGCUAAGAAGAACAUUCUUCCAGUUGACUAAGUUAUAACCCUUUCCCUCCUUAUUGCUUUUCCAUAGGAAGUUCCUUCUAAGCUUGUCUCGUUUUUUCACCACCUUUGCUUGGAUUGGAAACAAGGACAUCACAUAGGUUGGUAAAGAGUCCAGAACAGAGUUUAUGAGGAUCAAUCUACCCCCUAGGGAUAGGUAUUGCGCCUUCCAUCUAGCAAGUUUCUUCUCCGUUUUCACCAGAAUACCAUUCCAUAUCUCCAUUGUUUUGUGUUUGCUACCCAGGGGCAUGCCCAGGUAUAUGGUAGGCAAAUGCUCCACUUUGCAUCCCAAUAUAUUUGCUAGUUGCUGGAUCUGAGGGACCUCAUUUACCGGAAAGAGACUACUUUUUCCCCAGUUUACUUUCAACCCUGAAACUGCUUCAAACAAAACCAAAAUCACUCUGAUGUAGCUAAUCUGUUCUGCUGUAGGUUCACAAAAGAUGAUAGUAUCAUCCGCAUAGAGCAGAUGACACACUUCUUUUUCUUCCCCCACUCUAUCUCCGACCUGAAAGCCUCUAAUCCAUCUGUUUUGUGUUGCAAUCCUCAUCAUACUAUCAAAGCCUUUCAUUGCCAAAAUGAAUAAGAAAGGGGAAAGUGGAUCACCCUGUCUCAGCCCUCUUUCUGAUUCGAAAAAGCCCACGGGUUCCCAUUCACAAGGACAGAAAACUUGACUGUUUUUAUACACACCUCAAUCCACUUUAUCCAUUUGCUGCCAAAUCCCAUUUGUCUGAGAGUAUUCAGAAGGAAAGACCAAUUCACGCGGUCAUAGGCUUUCUGAAUAUCCAAUUUGCACAUUAGACCAGGGGCUCCUCCUUUCAUUCUUGAGUCAAUGCAUUCACUAGCAAUGAGUGUUGCAUCCGUGAUUUGCCUCCCCUUUACAAAAGCCAUUUGAUGUUUGUUGAUCAAUUUCGACACCACCUUUUUUAGCCUUUUUUUUUUUGAAAUAAACACCACCUGUUUUAGCCUUUCAACCAACAAUCUAGCAAUGAUCUUGUAGACUCCCCCCACCAGGCUGAUUGGCCUAAAAUCCUUCAACUCUGAUGCUCCAGGUUUCUUUGGGAUUAAAGCAAUAAAAGUUGCAUUAAAGCUCUUCUCAAAAAUCUGAUUAGAAUGAAAAAAUUGAAUUGUAUUGGUGAUGUCUUCCUUCAACAGGGCCCAAAAAGUCUGGAAGAAUACCAUCGGAUAUCCAUCAGGACCCGGGGCUUUCUCCUUUGCACAUAAGUUCAAACAUACCCUCAUCUCUUCUUCCUCAAAAGGUCUCUGCAGCCAUACUUUUUCUUCUUCAGUGAUCAUUGUAGCCUCCUGCAGUCUCAACUCAGGUCUCCAUUGUUCUGCCUCCUUGUAUAGGUUUUUAUAGAAAUUAUGCACGGCCUCUUUGAUCACAGCUUGAUCCUUAGUAACAGCUCCAUCCACUUCCAAUUGGUCUAUAUAGUUGAAUCUUUUAUGAGAAGUUGCAAUUCUGUGGAAAAAUCGUGUGUUCUUGUCACCUUGUUUUAGCCAUUGGAUUCUUGAUCUUUGCUUCCAAGCUAAUUCUUCCUUCCUUGCCACAUCUUCAAAUUCCAUUCCCAGAUGUGUCUUUUGCAGCAGUUCAUCAUCUGUGAGGGGCCUUUGUUCCUGAAUUGUUUCCCAAUUAGAAAUUUGAUUGAGAAUAUCUUCCUUCCUUUGUUUUCAGUUCCCCUUAUUAUUUUUGCUCCACUCCUUAAGCUUUACUUUCAACAUUUUUAACUUUUCAGCCAAAUUAUAGCCUGGUCUGCCAGUGACACUAAAUGACUCCCACCAAUCUUUCACCUUCUCUUUGAAACCCUCCACCUCUAACCACCAUGUUUCAAAUUUAAAAUAAGACUUUUUCCACCCUUCAUCUCCACAGGACAACACAAUAGGGAUUAUGAUCUGAAGCAAUUUUGGGGAGACUACUUUGAAUUAUCUGUGUAAAAUUCUCUCCCCACUCUGCACAAUAUAGAAAUCUGUCAAUUCUAGAAGCACAAAUAUUAUUCUCUCCCUUUCUCCAGGUGAAAGAGCCUCCACAUAAAGGAGGAUCAACCAUCUCCAGUUCUUCAAUGAAGGAUGAGAAUUCUGACAUAGCACCGGUUAGUCUGUGACAAUUUGUUCUCUCUGACGGAUAUCUAGUGACAUUGAAGUCACCACACAUUAUGAGCAGUAUCUUCGUAUAUAUUCACAGGACAUAAAGGAUAUUAUAAAGUUGAAGAACUACAUCUUAAAUAGAAAAAUACUAGUAUCACACACAUCAAUGAAAGCCUCUCCAAAAUGUGCCUUGCAUCUAGGUAGAGCCAGAAGUAUGCUGUAUGGGAUAGGUUAGAACCAUAUAAUUAGCAGGGAUAGCUAGAAAUUUGAUUCAUAGGGAGAAGAUCAUUUAUGUCAAAUAUAUAGAUUUAGGAGUAUAAAUUUGUAUUAGUUUAUAUACAUAGACAAAAGAAGUCUAAAAAUGAGAUAAAAUUAUUGAAAAUUGAAUGAAAUUAGCUUUGAUUGAAAACUAUCACACAAAUUUAGCAGAUUAAAAAUAAAUAAGAGACCAGCAUGUUAAUAAUAUCACUAUGGAACUGUCUUUUCAACAAAGAAAAAUUGCAACCUGAUCUUUUAUUAUUAAAGUUCUUUUCAAGAAAAUAAUUCAAUGAAACUAAACACUGAUUCCUCACUGGUGGAUACAUUUAAUAGAGCAAAGAAACAUAUCAACAAUAUAUUUUUGCACAAAUUUAAUGAAAUUAUAUUCUAGUGGUAGUUCAUAUUAAAUUCUCUUUUGGACAUAGCAUUGUCAUCUAAGUAAACUAAAUUUAACUAAUAUUUAACUUACACUGUCAAUUGGAACAAAGAAAUAGGGGAGUCCGGUGCACUAAGCUCCCACUAUGCGCAGGGCCUAGGUAAGGUAUGGACCACGACAUUGUCCUUUCUUUCAUCUUUUUUCCGCGUUGUCUGUUUAGUUUUUGGGUUUGAAGAACUUUCUUUGUGUGGAAAGCUAAUAUCUCUUUUAUUAAUUACUAUCCUUGAACGGGAGGGAGGGCAUAAAUAGAAACCAAGCAAGAGUCCAAAACUAAAUAGUUGUAUUAGUUCAUACCAAAUGUUAGGUAUCCACUGCCAAUAUAUCAAUACAGGGUUGUCCUUUUUUCCUUUAUUUUUCUUGUUUUGGGGUUGCUCAUGGGGGAGUUGUUAAGGUGUUUGGCAUUAAAAAAAAAGUUGAGGAGGGGAGGCCGGGGAAGGAGACACAACCCCUGAGCAUACCAGUGCUUGACAUUGAUGAAAUCUAACUUUGCACAGUGAACAUCAAGGAUUUACUAGAAGCUCAAGUUAGUACUGUCUGUUUAUAAUUGCAUUAAUCUUAAAAAAAAUUCCAUAACCAUACUCCUAACAAAGAACGGAAAUGAAAGGUGAUACUACAGAUGCAGAUUGAGCAAAAGAUGCAAGGGGGAUGGGCUUCUUAUGAGUCAUCCUUCCAUUAGUAAAAAUUGAAAAGGAUCAGAGCUUAUUUGCACUGAGAGACGAUGGUCUUUUGUUUAGCGGGGUGUUACUUCGGCCCUGAAAUAUUAUAAUUUAUUUUCUGUAGUGCUUCUUAUAAUAAGCCCAAAAAAGGAUUUAGCUCCAUUGGUGUUUUCCAACAAGUGCUCAUGAAUGUUAAACAAAAAUCUGAGCUAUUGCAAGCUUGUUUAUAUUUGGUGGUAAUUUCAAUAAAUUUUCUAACACAAAUAUGUGUCAACAUUGAACAGAAGAAAGGAUCAUGGAGGAGGAAUGGAGAAGUCUCUCGUAGUGCGUCUAUGCCCAAUUAUGGUAGUAGGUAUGCAUUACUUGUCUUCUCUUGUGGACAGAAAAAAUGGAGAAAAAGUGGUGACUUUAGAGAAUUCAUGUAUGAUAGGAAGGGGGUAGGGGGGAGUAUAUUUGUAGCUUUUACAGAUCGGAAUUUUCUGAAAGAUAACUUUGUGAUUUUUGCAGAAUGCAAUUUGCUUAUAGAAAUCUCGAUAGGCGUCCUUCCUGGGUUCAGAGUUUCUCCACAUAUGAUACGACCCUCAAAUCUGACAUAGAUUCGAGACAUGGGUCGGGUCUGACGGACUAUGUUUCACAGCCAAGUUUCUCUAUUCAACCUGAAGAUGGAAAAUCUGAGACUGUCUCGUCUCCAAUAAAAAUGCAGCACAAUCAGUCCUUUGAUUAUUCUUUUCUCGAAGAAAAGAGUGAUCAUGCUUUCAAUGAUAUUGACAAUGAUUUUUCACAAGAGCUAACUGACCUUGUUUCAACGUCUGUUUCUUGGAACUUGAAGAUGCAACCUGACACGCAAGAGUCUAAAGGAUCCAUUGAUUCAACUUCACAGCUUCAUCUUAACAAUAUGCUUGAUCAUGCUUUUCCUGAGGAAAGAUGUGAAGUUGUUUAUGAUGACAUUGGUAAUAUUGUAUCCGAAGAGCAAGCUGAUCAUUGCACAUCUUCUGUUACUUGGAAUGAUAAAACAGGACGUGAGAAACAACAGUCUAGAGAAUCCUUCUCUUCUCCAUCCCAGAUUCAUCAUGAUGAUUUGCCUGAUUAUGCUUCCCUUGAUCGAAAAGGCGAUGAUGAGUACAGUGAUAUGGGAAAUAGUUCAACAGAGGACCAAAUUGGCCGCAACUUAUUGUCUGUUGCUUUGAGUGGUAAGAUGAGAACUGCAGAAGUAGAGUCUAAAGAAAUCUUCUACUCUCCGUUGCAGAUGAAUCCAAGUGCUUCCAUAGAAGAUGCUUCUCCCGAUGAAAAGCUUUGGGUCAUAUCUGAUGAAGAGAGUAACAAUUUUCCACAAGGGCAAGUGGUUCUUAGUUCACCUUUCUCAAGUAGCAGUGUUAAGAAUGAACAGUUGGACCUGAGUAUUCAGAAGUAUGAUUUUGAUGAGAGUUUGGAGACACUUCAAGAAAAUCUAGUCCUAGAUACACAGGUAUUAGAUUUAGCAACUUCUGAAAAUAUUCAACAGCAAAGUUCUGAGCCUGAGGCUGAAAUUAUACAAAGGUCAAUUUCUUAUGAAAGCCAGUUUGAUGACAUUGAAAGUGAAACUGACAGUUUUAUGGAUGCACUUAACACCAUUGAGUCAGAGUCUGAAACUGAUUUGGAUUGCCAAAGAAAACGAGCAAUGGAGCUGGAGUCUAGUUUGAAGACUGAAUCAUCCUUGAAUGGAACCCAUGUAAAUAGAGCAGAACUUUCUGAUCGGAAUUUGUCUACUCCUAUACCCGAGGCUGCGGCCAGAAAUUCCCCUGAGAACUGUGGUUUUGGUGGUAAGACCAACUUGGUAUCUGCUGACUCUGAUCCUGGAGAUUUCUCUUCCUCUGACAAAGUAAAAUGUAAGGAAAUUCCAGAGAAUAUCUCUUCAGGGUUUGGUGAGAUUUUAUCGUCUCCGCAGAUUGCUGGAAUUACUUUAAAACCAGACAGUUCUAUAGGUGUCCCUUCAAGUAAAAAAUCCAAUAUUCUGGAAGCAUCACAAGAGGAACCACUUGUUAGCAAUCAUAUCACCUCUAACCCUAGGAAUCCUGGCUCAGCAUUGCCAGUGGUCAACAAGAUCCAUUGUGGUCCUUCCGACUCUGAAAAACCUCCACCCCAACUUCUUGGCACUCCUAAAGUCAAAUUCUGGACAAAUGGUGGUUUGCUCGGGCUUGAGCCCUCAAAGCCACCAGAUGGUGUAAUAAAUAGUGUUGGUCAAGUUUAUGAAUCUAAUCAAAAUGAGGAAGUCAUUGCUUCAAGGCAAGAUCCUGUUCCCAGCAGUGAAAAACAUGCAGGGAAACAAGAUGAUGUACAGAAUACAUCAAGAGAGAAAGCUGAUUGCCAAAAUUCUGAUCAAGGAGUUGCCUUUUCUAUUAAGAACAUAUCAUCAAGAUUUUCAGCCAAAGAUUUAGAUGUCAAACUUGACAAGUCAAGUAAUUUAUACCAGCAAAACUGCACUGAUAAGCCCCUACACAGUUCUUUAAAUGGAUCUGGUAUGACAUCUAGGACAAUGGGACCAGUGAGUCCAGAAUCCCCUAUUUCAGCUGGUCAAGAGAACGGAAAGAAUUCAUCACGUAUUCUUGAACUAGGUAAUAGAUUGCUUACAAAUGGGUUCCAUGGGAAACUCUCACUUGGUUGGAAUGAUAAGACGGAUUCAGCCAGUUCUUUAAACACUGGAAGCAAUGAGCCUAUAAAUGACUACCAACAAUGUGUGGGUAGAACAAUCAAAGACUUCCCAGGAAGAGGAUCCCCCUUCACAUCACCUCCUUCAUCACCCCCACUUGGACAUAUGAAAAUCUCAUUCCAGCCAAUAGACAGCAUUGAGACUACGAAAUUGAAACUCAGAUUUCCUGAUAGGAGUAAUAUCCAUGAAAGCAAUAAUGAUAUGUUUCCUUCAUUUCAGCUAGUACCAGAGUCUUCUAUUCCUCUGCAAGAAGUUGGUUCAGACUCGGAUGAUGACACAUUUUCCAGAUCAUCUCCCGACCUAUCAGAUGAUUAUCUUAGCCAUCAGUCUGAGUCAAACUCUGAACAGUGGGAAUCUGGUAACUCUCCUAAUUUAAAGGACCAAGAAGUAUACAAUGCUUUGCAUAGAAUAUCAUUAACUGAGUCAACUUCAACAUCUUUCGAGAAUGGCCGAACAGCUCAUCAGAAUUUGCACACCUGCAGUAGACACCAUGUUCCUUUUGCAGAAUACUCUCUGGAGGAUUCUCAGUUGGAUAAUUUAUUUGAUCUUCCAGUUCUGGAUACCCAGCAUUCCUCAUUCAAGCAUGGAGUAGGUAAUACUGUGUCUGCAAGAGAUUUUCUAGAGCCAUUGUCUGGUAAGGAAUCUACACCACCUCCUCCACCUCUUCCUUCAAUGCAGUGGCAGAAUAUGCAAUCACAUUUAGAUGACGAACAAGAUGAUCUACAUCUUUUCUCUGAAAACCAUCAUGUGUUUGAUCAAAAGGAGCCUGGAUCUACCAUUUCCCAUCAACCUAAGCCUCCCCCAUUCAAGCAAAACCAAGUUAUUGAAGCUGCUUUUACAUUGAAAAGCAAGGUAUUCUUCUUAACCUCACUACAAAAUAUCAAAAGGAACAGAAAUUUUGUUUUGAAGGUUCUCUUUCUUCUUUCAUAUACCACUUGAUUAAGUAGGAGGUGACAAUGACACAUUUACACAUGCAGCAGCCACACUCAAUAGACACAACUGGGCAGCAAUUUGCAGAUCAUGCUGAAAAUGGCAGAGGAAACAAUGAAAAGGAAGACUUCCUGCACCAGAUUAGAGCAAAAGUGAGUGGUCAUUAUUGUUCUAUUGGUGAUUGAAUAUUUGUCUGCAGUCUGGUUUUGAUAUUGACUAGUGCAGAUUUGUUUACCAUCUUUAUCUGUUAAUCUUCUUUAAGCCUGAGUGGAUUCCCUGAAUAUUUCAUGAAUUUAUAUCUGCUUUGGAAAAUCAGCUAGCUGCUCUUUUUGAAUUGGAUAGCUAAGCUAGUUUUAGCCUGCUACCUCAAUGGGUUCACUAGCUUCUUUAAGCCUCAUGUUUCCUUGAACUACCCUCUAAUUUUCUUUCUCAUGAAUGUGACCCACCUUCUGUAGGUAAUUGUCUUUCACUCUUCUUUGAAACGUGAGUAGGGGUUGAAGUUAUGAUCUUCAUAUUUGAGGAUGAUGAAGCAUCUAAUAAUAAUUACCAAUUUCAUGUCAUUUUACGAAUUCUCAUUAUCUACUUUCCUUUUUUGUUGUGUGAUUCAGUCGUUCAAUCUUAGACGAACUGCUCCAGCAAAACCAACUGGAACUACAGUGCCUCCAGCAAACGUCAAGGUCAAUGCAAUUUUGGAGAAAGCCAAUGCAAUCCGUCAGGUAUCAACAUUUUAACCUGCAUUCUUCUCUCCCUUGUACAACCCCGAAUCCUCACCUUCCUGGUUACUCCAAGAAUAAUGAAGCACAAACUACCAACACAGCUAAACUGUCCAACUUAUUCCUUUUUCAUUGACUUGUUAUUUUCAACUUGUUGUACUCAGGCAGUUGGAAGUGAUGAUGGAGAAGAUAACUGGAGUGACACUUGAAAUAUUUUUCAAGAAUGAUGACAUUAGUCUAUCAAACCCAAGCGUGUAUAAUUUUGCCUCUGGAGUUAGGUGAGUGUGUGUAAAUAAUUAGUUGUUAUCUGUAAGUAUUUUUAGGUCCCCUUUUUUGUAUCUCGAUUAGCUUUUCACCUUAGGUAGCUUUCAACCUGUUUCUGUAAACAUUGUGCUCUAAACUCUAGUAUGACCCAGCAACAUUUUCAAGGCAUGAAUUUAUGCAUAAGCCACCUCUCUUUGAUGCUUUCAACAUCUAUCUAGUAUUAUUUCACAGCUCCGACCGCACGUUCUUGGAGUCCUAACAAUUGUUAUACUAUAUAUUAUGUGCUCUUUGACUCCUUAGUAAAUCAUUGAGAUUCUCGUAAUGGGAUGGCAUGAUAGAUUUAUUACAUGUUCCUUGAAAUAAUGAAUGGUUCAGAUUUUCUGCUGAAGUUGCUUCCAUGGCAGACCCAUCAUAGAUAUGGAAUCUAAAAACAUUAGCAGUUGCACAAAGUGGAAUCUUAAAAGUAUUAAAAUUGAGAUGUUUCUCUAAAUAUAUAAACAAGCUAAAAAUAAUAGUAGUAAUACAUUGAGACAUCCAAAGUAAUACUCAAUUGAAGUAAUAGUUGUAACAUAAAUAGUAGAACAAAUAUCUCUAAACAAUGGGAAGUGACUAGUAUAAAAUUACAUUGCGUGGAAUAUCUUAUUUAACCCUGGGAUUGAAUUAAUUACCUGUGUAAUUAUAUACUUAUUUUCUGAAAUUUAUUUUGUAGCUUAUUAGCCGGCUGUUCACGACUCAAAAAGUUUCUGACCGUGUCAUGGGGAAAAGGUUUUUUUCUUCUUAUAUAUGGUUAUAGCUUGGGUUUUGAUUGACUUCUUCACUGAAAAUUAGGGUCAAACUCCAGGAACCAUGGCAACUUGGAUUAAAAAUAUUCUGUGCUAAUAGUUCCUCUACUAAAACAGGAGAGCAUCUACCUCUACACAAUUACAUAUAGUAUGCUUGAGGGCAAAUUUUAGAGGGGCGAUGUAAUAGUUGAGAUUUCGGCCCUUUCUUAUAUAGAUAUUGUAUCGUGAAAAUAAAUUAUUUUUUGAUAAAAUCAAAGAUGGAUAUUGUGAUAAAAUACUCAUGUCAAUCAUUAUUUUUGAAGAGGGUUCAAAUUCUAAAUUUGGACAAGUAAAAGUAAAAGACGGAAAUAGUACUAAUUAAUUAGUGGCAUGAGUUUUUGGACCUAUACAAUCUUUAAAAGCAAGUUGUUCAUAAUCAUUAAUCAAGAAAUACAGCUGUGGAAUUACUAGGUAGAAUUGACUUUUGGACAGGUCCCAACUCUUACCCAGAAAUGAACUGAAGUUGCUUAAGAAAAACACCUUCUUUUGCUUGUUUCUAAAAUCUGUUGAGGUGUUCCUUGUUUUCUGCUACUUAAUUAAUUUGUUUUUUACAACUUUAGAAUCUUUUGCAACUACUGGCCUUGAAGGUAACGCCACAAAAUAUUAAACCUCAAACUUGUCCCUCUUUUCGCGCUGUUUUUUUUUUUUUUUAAAUAUGCUCGGGGUGGACAACUUAUAAUAAUAAUAUAAAUAAUUUAUCACUAACCUAGUAAGUAAUUAAGCUUUUAUGUUAUCAAUUUUGAAUUUGCAGGCUCAUGAUAUAUAAGAGCAACUUUCCUGAAAAGGGAUUAAAAAGAAUAAAUAAAUAAAUAAUUUGAUCAGUAACGUCCUAAAACUUUAUUUGAAUUAUGAAUUUUAUCUUUUAUUAUUUUUAGAAUGAGUAUUAUUCAAUAAAAUAAUUUGACAAUCAAUUAAAUAAACUAAUCGAGUACUUUGAAAGAAUCUUAUUAAAUUAAAUGAGCUACUACAUGCAAAUUGCAAUAGGCAUUUACCACUUCUCAAUUAAAAAUUAUACUCACUCAUUUGGAGUUAUGAUCAUCGAAUUCCUCCACUCCCUCUAGCUUUAUAAAUAUAAUAUUAAUAAGUUAAUUAGUUUGAUAAAAAAAAUAAAAAAAAAUAGUUUGACCUGGCAUACUCUUUGAAAAAGCUUUAAAAUAGAAGUGUAUUUUAUUAAAUUAAUCUUAAUAAUUAUACUUUGAAAUUUUUAAUUUGAUUGUUGUUAUUUUAUAUCAAGGAAAUAUGCAACAAAAAAAAUAAAUAGUACUCUCUCUGUUCUUUUUUCCUUAUCACAUUUUACUUCUUGAGAGUCAAACAAUAUAAACUUUCAACAAUAGUUAAAGAUGUAAUUUUCUUAUCAUAUUAACGUGAGAAGAAUUAUAACUUAUAGUAUUUUUUCAUAUAGUUUCCGAACAUCUAAAUUUUAAAUAUUAUAUUAUUCAAAUUCAAUUUAACUCCAAAAAAUAAUUAAAUUGAUUUUCGUAAAGCAAAAUAUAAUAAAUAAAAAAGAGUAGAUAAAGUAACAAUUUACUAAAAUAGAUACAUAAAAUAAAAUAUCUAUUUUUAUCAUAAAUGCCGCCCAUUAAAAUGAACCUGAGUGAGUACCAAAUUAACAAGAACAAAAGAAGUUUCCGUAACAAGUAAGAGACCAAACAAUAGGACAAAGAAAUUUUAGUGCUAUAAAAAAACGUACCCCAUUAAACCUUAUCUGUUUCUUUCCAAAAAAAAGCCAUGUGUCUUGGCUAAUAUCCUGAUAAUAAUUAAUAAAUUCGUCAAGAAUAAUUAAUUAAUUUCGACCUAAAAACAAAACAAUAUCUUUUGAAAAAGAUGCAUGUAUCUAGAGUAGAUUACUUUUAUCUUCUACAAUAUCAACAGUUAUUAUGUUAAUUAUAUUUUUUAAUUGUGAUGAUGUAUUUCCCAAUUAGUCUUCAACUUGGUCUUUAAUUGGAGGAAAAUAACAUUAAUUACAGAAGAAGAUAUGAAUUAAUUAUUAAAUAAAAGAAAAGAAAGAAAGGGUUUCUUCCCUUGAUUAGUUUAAGCAACUUGGUUAUCAUCCACAACAGCACCAACAUGCAAUUUAGCCUUUCCAACACACCCCUAAUUAUAUGCUUUUUAUUAGCUCAACUUUUUCUUUUUUUUUCAUUUUCAAAAUUUAGGUACAAUCCGAACUUUUUAUAAUAAUCAUUUUUUGUGAUAACAUUUCACGGAGAUAAUCAAGUUUUUUUUAAUCAAUUUUUCACAUUAUAUUUUACUUAUUUAUAACAUUAUUCUACUUAUAAUAAUAACCAUCAUCAUUAGUAACACUUUGAUAAAAACCCUACUCAAAUAUUGAUUGAUUUUGCCUUUCAAUAUAAUAUUUGUUAAUUCUGCUACUUGGAUUGAGAUAGAAGAUCGAUGUGAUUGUUAAGGGAAAGACUAUCUUUUAUUAUAUUAUUUUGUUGAAAUUUUGGACGAAAAUCUUCAUUAAUUAAAGCUUAUAUUACCACGAUGAGGCUAGACUCUACGAAACAAGCUAAAACUAUAGAUUUCUCCCAUUAAACUUGAUCUUUUUGAAGUUUUAAAUCACUUUAAAUUCAAUUCUUUUUAGGUAACUUACAACUAGUUAUGGAUUAUAUUGCUAUUUAUAGUGGUAACUAUAAGGGCAACUAAGUGGAAAUUAAAUGUGAAGAACUAAUUACAAUUACCAUAAGAUUGAAUAUUCUACAUAUAUAUUCAACAAACUUUUGAAAUUUUUUUUAAGCAUAAGUUAUAAAAGUAAGCAAAAAGAAAAAGUGGAUACAUCUUUUCCAUGUAAAGGACUUCAAUGCUUGUCAUUUUAAUAUAUAGAAUAAAAUAAAAUAAAAAGUUUUGUGUUGGAAAUGAAGAAGCUCUGUAGUAAUAGCCUGUUUUGCUCAAAGAAAAGACUAUAUACCUUUAUUAAAGGUAACACCAUAAUCUUGAAAAUUUAAAAGGUACUCUCUCUACUUUUUAAUUUUAUUAGUAAUUUUUAUGAACUGAAAGCUACUCAGACAGCAACACAUUUACUAAAAAUUCUGAUUGAUUUUGAAAAAAGAUGACAUAAUAAAAGUAAUUAGAAAAAAGAAAUAGAAAAUAUUAAUAGAUGCUUGAAAAGCAAAGACUUUGAUUAAAGAAAAAAAAGCCAAAAGGAAUAGCAUUUAUUUACCAUAACAAGCAUCCAACUUUAAAGUUUAAAGUAUAAAAUUAUCCCCUUUUUUGGUUUCUCCAAAAAUAUCUUUCAGUUCUUAUCUCUUUUUAUGACUUCUCUGUUCCCCUUCAUUUUAAGUUUAAGUCAAUGAUUUUUCCGUUAUUUUAGGGGGAAAACCCUUUUUUUUUUCCUUUUCCUUUUCAUUUUUUUAUUUACCUUUUUAAGUUCAUUAAAAGUAUAUGAAUAUUAUAAUAAAAUAUGUAAAUAGGUACGUAUUAAGCUCAAUUGUAAAUAAGUAAAGUGAAUAGAAAAAGUAAUUUUGUAGCGAAAUAUUUCUGUAAAUUGUAAUACGCCCCUCCUUCAAAAAUACAUUACUUUUAUACCUGACCAUUAAAUAUGUUUAUAAACCAUGCACCAAUAAAGUCAUGACAUGUGUCAUUACCUUCAACGGAAGAUAAUUCUUCCGCUUCUUUUCCCUGUAUACAAAGUUAAUAGGAUUUUAUGACGUUGAUGUUAUCUAUGGAGGGUUUUUUUUUACUCAGUAUCAAUAAGUGGAGGAGACAUCUUAUGCUUAGGAAAUGACUUUUUUUAAAAAAAAAUUAUACUGUUUAGUUUGAUUAAAAUUUAAAUUUUAUAUAAAUAUAUUAUAUGUUGAUUGUCGUGUUAUCUAUUUUAUAUUUUUUGACACCUCUUAACAAAAUUUAUAGCUCCGCCAUUAGACAUCAUCAUCAUUGUUAAAUGUUGGUACUAAUUAUAAAGAGAUAAAGAUGUGUGGUGUGCAUUACAUUAUAUGCAAUCAUGUCUAAUAACUUCUUUUCUUUCCUUGGUCUAAAGAAGAAAAGACUGUUGAAUGAAUGAUGAGGGACUUAAAAAGAACUGAAAGUACUCAAACAGGUAGGGGUGCAAAAACCGAUUUAACCAAUAAAUCAAAUCGAAAAAAUUACUAUUGGUUUAUUGGGCUAACAUUUUUUAAAUGGUUUCGCAAAUUUUUUUAUUGGGUUAUUGAUUCGAUUUCCGGUUUUAUGAUUUUGUUAGUGGUUAAACCGAUAACUCAAUAAGACUUUAUACUAAAUUUACUAUUUUAUCCCUAUACCAGUAAACCCUAAUUAUAUAACAUUUUACAAACCCUAUUACUUUAAUCUCAGUAUUACUUAAAACCCUAAUUAUUGUUUCAUUCUAUAAUUGCAAGCACACUUCUAACUUGAAUGUGCCAAUUGCCUAGACUUGCUGAAAAACGAUUGUUACUUUCACACUUUUUCCUUUGAAUGUGUCUAGUGUCUAAACUUGCAAGAAAAAUGAUUGUUACUUUUAUGAUAAUUAUUUUCAUGCCAAAUGCUGGAAAAAUCAUAAGGUUUAUAUGAAAAUUUUCUUAUCGUGUAUAUUAAUAUAUAUGAGUAUUUUCUUAUUGGUUAAACCGAAAACUGAACCGUUAAGUAUCAUAAACCGAUUAACCAAAAACCAAUAAGAAAUAUGUUAUUGGUUUGGUUAUCGGUUUGACGUAUUUACAAACCGAAAACCCAUAACCCGACCAAUAACACAUAAAAUCGAAUUGAACCGACUGAUGCGCACCCCUACUGUAUACUUUAGUUAAAAGGGUAAAAAUAUUUUAAAAGGUAAAAUAUCAUUCUGGUCAAAAGGAUUUUUCCAUAUAUAUAUAUAUAUGGCUGAUUAAGAUUAGAAUUUUUUUUUUUUGAUUCCAUCAAGAAAUUGCACCAAUUAAGGUAGGCAUAUUAUAAAGUUUUAGUAUGGCUGAUGAUUUUUUUUGUCUAUCAAACAAAACAACUUCAAAUUUUGAAAAAAAGAUAAAAAUUGGUCAAAAACUUUUUCACGGAUUUUCCUUUCAAAUGCCACCUAAAUGUAUCCAACCUCGCUGACACCAUAUAACAUUAUCAUCGAUUUUGAUCUUAUUUAAGCAUAGCCUAAUUAGUAAAUCAUAAUUUUAAUGAUAUCCACAAGUUAUCUUCCUAGAGAAAUUACUUUUUUAAAAUUUUAAAAUAAGCGUACUUAGGACUUAACUUAGGAGAGUGUAAGGAUUGGAAUUUUGGACGAAGGUGUGUCUAAUUAAUUAAUAUGUACUAUUUAUUCAAAUUUUUAACAAUAGAAUUUAAAUUAUUUAGUUUGGUGUAAAUAGUGGAAUAACAACAAUAAUAACAUAUCUAAUGAAAUAUUAUAAAUAAAUAGUGUAAACAGAUUUUACCACUGCUCUUUAUACAAUAUAAAUAGUGGAACGCUGUAUAAAAAAGAUCCACGCUGAUGGAUGGAUUGAGUGGAAGAAGGGAAAAAAAUAUUGGAGCUUCACCCUUAAGGAUUAAAUGGCAUGAACAUGAUGUGUCAGCAUAAUCUCAAUCUUGAUUAAAUAAAAGAAAAUACUUUAUAGGCAAAAGCUAAUCCAGAUUUGAUAUUAAACUAAACAUUAGAAAAGACCUCCUUUUUUUUUUUUAGCUUUAUCUCUUUCUUUUAAUUCACCCCCUUAUGGCCUUAUCUUUUAUAUAAUAACUCCCACUUUUUUUGAAAUUGAAAAAUAUAAGCAACCUACCUGGUGUAGGUCCCACUUCAUGGAGACUUUCAACACAAAAAGAUGACGUGGAAUAAUGAUGUGGACAAAAAGUUCAGCAUCAACUUUUUUAGCCUCCCCACCCACCCACCCCACAACCUCAUAUAUAUACUCAUAUGAUAGAAUAAAGAAUAAAAAGAAAAAAAGAACCUUGUUUGUUGCUCAUGGCGGCUCCCUUUUUCCUUUUAUUCUUUUACUGGAAAUUUACACCUUACUUUAUUCCUUUUUGCACUUUUUGCUCCCCUAAUUAUAUCUAUCACACGUAUAUGGUUACUAACCUAUUCAUAUACUUGAAAAAACAAUUAUUUUACUUUUUUCAUUUUUUAAUUAAAAGUUAGUUUUUUAUUAAAUACUAUUUACUUUGUCUUAAUUUAUAUGACAGCCUUUCAUUUUUCGAGAGUCAAACAAUUUAAGUUUGAUCGGAAAUAUUCACAUGAAAUCUUGAAUUUUUUUGAAAUGAAAUUUAAAUAUUUGUAAACUACUUAAAAAGUAAUAUAAGUCACAAUAAUUGGCAAUCCAAAAUAUUUAAAAGAUAUAUAAAAAAAUUACGAUAAAAAAUACUCCCUCCGUCCCAUUUUAUAUGAUGUACUUUGAUUUGGCACAAACUUUAAGAAAAAUGGAAAGACUUUUAAAACUUGUGGUCCAAAAUGAAUGAUAGAAAUUUGUGUGGUUGUAAAUCAUUUCAUUAAGGGUAAAAAAGACAUUUUAUAGGCAAAUUGUUACUUAAAAUAGAAAUGUGUCAUUCUUUUUGGGACUGACUAAAAAGGAAAGUAAGUCAUAUAAAUUGGGACAGAGGGAGUAACUUAUUUGAAUUAUGAAAUCCGAAAUAUGUCACAUAAAUUGAGACGAAAAAAGUAUACCAUAUCCAUUUUAUUUGAUGUGUUUUAAUUUAAUUAUAUAAUUUUUUUUAUCUAUAUUAAGAUUUCAAAUUAAAAAUAUGUAUAACAUAUCAAAAUACUUGAUUAGUCUUCUGGUUUUGAACGUGUCAUAUUCAUUUCUGUAAAACAAAUGUUAAUAAAAAUAACAUACAAAUAUUUGAAUAAAACUUUUGUUAAAUACAUAAAAUAUACCAUUAUUAAAAAAAAAGGAUUAAAAUACACAUUUCAUUUAAAGAGUUGCAGCUUUACAUAAAGUGACCUUUUUUAGAUAAAGAGUUCCAUAAAGUCAUUGGACAAAAAAUCAUACACUAAGCUUGGGAAAUCAUAAUACACUGACCUCUAAAAAUUCCCAUUUUAUUUCUAUAUAUGCUUUUCGUUUUAAUCAGGCUUAUAUAUGAUGAUGACUCUUUUUUUGGAACUUUUUAUUUAAAUUUUCUAACAAUAUAAUAUAGUAUAUUUUUUAACUUUAUCCAAAACAGUAAAUUUAUAAUGAGAGGAGUAACACUGGCAGUAUAAAGUUUCAACCAUGAACUUUUUCUUUCUUGACUUGCCCUCUUUUUUCCAUUACCAAAGAAAAAAAGACUUGCCCUUUUUCUCUCUCCUUUUUCUUCUAUACUUUUAUAUUCUUCAAGUAGAUCUCUUUUCUCCCACUCCAUCAUCUAUGAACUUUUUUCCUCCCCUAUCUAGCCCCUCCACCCCCACCUCCAACCUCUACAACUCACUUUACACUUUUUUCCCUUUUAAAGUACACAUACAUAUACACAUCUCUACCUAUAUAUAUAUAUAUAAAUCAACUCCUUUGGCCUUAUAAGUUAAUUCCUCUCUACAUCAAACAUAUACAAACAUUCACUUGCCUCUACCCCCACCAAAGGCAUCAAGAAAAUAUGGCUCAAGUUCAAGAAAGUCCCAUCUCUCAAGGCAUCAAAUUGUUUGGUGCAACAAUACAAAUUCAAGAAAAACAAGCCAAAACUACUCAUCAACCAACAAACAAAGUUGUUGAUGAUGAUGAUAAUGAUAAUGAUCAAGAAAAAAGGCCAGACAAGAUCAUCCCUUGUCCUAGAUGCAAAAGCAUGGAAACCAAAUUUUGUUACUUCAACAACUACAAUGUUAACCAACCUAGACACUUCUGCAAAGGUUGUCAGAGAUACUGGACGGCCGGCGGAGCCCUACGGAACGUGCCCGUAGGAGCCGGCCGUCGCAAAGCCAAGCCACCAUGCGGGCCGGGCCCACAUGGCGACUUGGCCGGAUUAUCAGACGGUUGUAAUUUCUUUGAUGUGGCUAAUCAGCUUGACUUUGAUGGAGUGGUGGCUCAUGAAGAUCAAUGGCAUCUUUUUCCGGCAGCUAAGAGGAGGAGGAGCACCUCCGAUAGCCAAUCUUAUUGAUUCCCUCUUUGUCGUCUAGUGAUUAUAUAAAUUAUAUUCUAUGUACGUGGAAUUAGUAAAUUGUUAAAAAAAAAAAAAAAAAAAAAAACAUUUGCAGGCUGACUUUACUUCCUUGAUUGUAUAUACAAGCUGUCUUUAAUUAGUUAAACAAAGUUGUCUUAAUUAGUACUACGUUCUUAAUUAAGAAAUAUAGUACUAGUAUUAUUGAAAGUUGCACUGAUUUAUAUCUUAAUCAAUCAUGUUGAUCACGAGUUGAGGGACAAGAUAGCAUGCCACACAACCCAUCAUAAAAGGUCCGACAUACACUUGUUAUUAUCAUAUUGGUCCAAUAAUUGCAUGUCUCUUAUUUUUGGGGGACUUUAUUAUAAAUCUCUUCAUUUCAUUUUAUAUGGAGUAAUAUAUUUGAAUUGUAAAAAUAGGGUAUUAAUUAACUGGCUUAUUGGUCAUAAUCAGAAAAAAAAAAUAGUUGGAUAAAGAUACAUUGAUCACGUCAAAGAAAGUUUGAAUUCUUGAAAGUUUAUGAGUAUUGUAUAGAAAAGAAUAAUGUCAAAUAUUUCGCAAUUUACUGUAUAAAUUGUGGUGAAAUUGAGUAUUUUAUACAAAUAUAUAUAUAUAUAUCAAAUGUAUAUCAUAUGCACCUACGUGAAAAGAUACCUCGAAUGUAUACAUUAUUAAUAAGAGAAUAUAUAGUUGCAUUAUUGUUAAUUAAUUGGAUAUAUGCUAAUUAUAUUUGGCUAAAUAUAUAUGUAUAUGUAAGUAUACCUCUACGUGAAGACUAACGUAUAAGAAAUGAUAUGUAGAUGUGAAAACAAAUUCUGAGCCCUAAAACUGACUUAUAAUUGAGGACAAGUGCCCGAUAAUAAUGCAGUCUAGUGAUCAGUGAAGUGAUUGAAAAUCAUGGUACUUCAUAUGAUAGCAGGUGUGUUGCGUAGUUCUAAUAGUAUACAUUUGAGGCCAUAACUAUAUAUAGAUUAUGGAGUAUUUAAAAUAGACGUGAUACGUGGACAAGUUAGAUGUUGGCGUGUGGAAAAACAAAAGAAUGGUGAAUCAACUUCGAGGGUGAUCCAUAUCCUACUUAUGUGAUUACACUUAAUAGUUGAACAAGAAAUUAUUGCAAAAUUUGUAUAUAACAAGCACAGAAAAAUAUAAUUUAGUGUACGGUGGAUUUUUUUUCCAUUUUAAGAUACCAAGAAAUUGUUCUAAAACAUGUUGAUAACAAUUUUGAUAUAAUUGAUUCUAAAAAGUGCUAAAGACGAAUAAGGAAUUUUAAACCAGAGGGAAUAUUUCUUCUUUCUUGUUCAUGAUUUUUUUUUUAAGAAUAGUGGUGGAAUUGUUUCCGAUCCAAAAGUGACAUGAGUGUUAAAGAAUUAUUCCCAACUUCCAAAAUAUGCAUUAUUUCAAAUUUCUUACCUAUAUAUUCUCUCUUGAAGGUUUGAGGGGCCUAGACCUCGUAGGUGCUUACGAUGAAAUAGCGUCUAUCAAAUAUUUUUCGAUCAUAUUUUUUAUAAAAAAAUAACUAUUAUUGUAAAGUUUCAUGAAACUCUUUGAAAAAUUAUCAGCAAAAUUUGAAAUUCUAUGAUGAUAGCUUUGAUUAUUUAUUAUAUUUAGGGGAAUAAUCUUCCAACGGAAAUCCAAAAGAGGAUUUUUAUAAUUUAGGAAGAAAACGAAAUAACUGCACAUGUAUAGUUGUAGAAUAAAGAAAUACUGAAAUUCCAAUAAAGCCCCUCUAUACACCUCAUUCUUGUUUUUUUUUUUGGUCUAAAAUUAAUGCCUUCUAGAGCAUAUUUAGUUAUUUCAACCUUAAAGUAUUUCUUUUGUGUGAAUAGAAUCAGAAUUAGAUGCCACUUGAUGGUGGGUUUUAUUCACACAAAAUACAGUUUUAGCAGAAAAAUGUGGGAAAAAAGAGAAAAAAGAAGGUACCCUUACAAAACUAAACUAAAACUAAAAAAAAUAUUAAUAAUUGAAUCAACUUUCUAAUAACCUGAACAUUUAAAUAAUAAAAUCAACAAUUCAACAUGUUCCUAAAUUCAGAUCUCACUUUAUUCUAUCUACAGGAUAUUUUCAUGUGCUUAACAUAUUGAAAAUGAAGUAAUCCUAUAUGUGAUGAGAUGGUUCUGAGAUAGAUAAUCAAUCAAUAAUAAUAUACAAUAAUUGUAAUGAAUAUCCUAUAGUUUAAAUUUUCAAAAGAAGUGCAAACUUCGACGUUUCAGUACAUGUAUUGAUAAUUCAGGAUAUCUAUAUAUGAAAUUAAUCAGAAGCAUCAUAUUAUAAUUGGGCAAACUACAUAAAUCUCACUAGUUUAGGGUCCUAAUUACUAAGACUCCCAAUAGUUUCAAAUAUUACUUCCUCUACCAUAUUUCAUGCAGGAUACACGAGUUGAAAUCCGUGAGAUCCAUGUAUCUGUCAAAAUUUACAGCUGAGAUACGUAUUUUAUUUGUUUAAAUUAAUUGGUUGUAACUGAUUUCCUUAAUUAUAGAAGUAAUUAAGGAUUUUCAGAAUACAUGGACAAUUAUUUUUGAAAAUUUAAAUUAAUCAAAAUCCCUUAAUGUAAGGCGGAAAUCAAGGUAUGUUUAAUUAAUUUAAUUUUAUUAUUUUUUAAAAUAAUAAAUUUAUUAAUAUUAUUAAUAAAAGAUUAAAAAAAACAUUUAUAUAUUAGUCAUUUAAUUUGAUUAAUUUCAUUUUAUCACUCUUAAAAUAAUGAAUCCAUUAAUUUGAUGUAUCUAUUAUCAAAUAUAAAUAUAUGAUGUAUCCAAUCAACUAAACACUUAGAUACAUGAGCAUCAUACAUGUACAUCCAUAUGUAUCAUAGAAGUAUCUAGAUUUAUUUAAUGUAUUUGUUAUAUGUAUCUAGUAUUAAUUUCAUGUAUCUAUUUAUAUGANNNNNNNNNNNNNNNNNNNNNNNNNNNNNNNNNNNNNNNNNNNNNNNNNNNNNNNNNNNNNNNNNNNNNNNNNNNNNNNNNNNNNNNNNNNNNNNNNNNNNNNNNNNNNNNNNNNNNNNNNNNNNNNNNNNNNNNNNNNNNNNNNNNNNNNNNNNNNNNNNNNNNNNNNNNNNNNNNNNNNNNNNNNNNNNNNNNNNNNNNNNNNNNNNNNNNNNNNNNNNNNNNNNNNNNNNNNNNNNNNNNNNNNNNNNNNNNNNNNNNNNNNNNNNNNNNNNNNNNNNNNNNNNNNNNNNNNNNNNNNNNNNNNNNNNNNNNNNNNNNNNNNNNNNNNNNNNNNNNNNNNNNNNNNNNNNNNNNNNNNNNNNNNNNNNNNNNNNNNNNNNNNNNNNNNNNNNNNNNNNNNNNNNNNNNNNNNNNNNNNNNNNNNNNNNNNNNNNNNNNNNNNNNNNNNNNNNNNNNNNNNNNNNNNNNNNNNNNNNNNNNNNNNNNNNNNNNNNNNNNNNNNNNNNNNNNNNNNNNNNNNNNNNNNNNNNNNNNNNNNNNNNNNNNNNNNNNNNNNNNNNAUCUGUUUUGGGAUUGGGGAGGGAAACGGCUGAAAAGAAUAAAGAGAAAUUAAUUUGAAUUGUUAGUGUCCUACUAAUUGAGGAGACGUAAUUUUAAGAUAAUUAUACAUUAUCAUUUUUAAAGGGAUUGUGUAUCUGAUUUUUUUUUAAAUAUGAUAUAUUUUUUAAAAAGUGGUAUUCUAUGUAAUAUUUUUAAAGUAGAGAUAAAAUAUGUAUAUGUGGUAGUUAAGUAUGUCUAGAUAGGUAGUUUUUCCAUUAAUUUGAUUAGUCUAAUUUUCUUUAGCGCAUUAAUGAGAUCCAAUACUAGCCUGACCAAAAAAUCAUACAAAAGCCAGUAAUUUAAUCAUGGAAUAUAUAGAAUUCUGUGAAAAUAUAAUAAUCUAUACUUUCCCGUUCAAAAAUAAAUGGUACAGUACGUUCUAUCAAUUCAAUCUCGAAAAAUAAAAAGAAAGACUAUCUUUAAUUAGUUUCGUGAUAAUAAGGAAUAAAUUGCGCAUGUACACACUCUGUUGAGGGUAUUUUGGUAAGGAAACGUAGAGGGGCUGCUGUAUAUACUUGUACAUCACUAAUUUUUCUGCUGUUUAGAGUAAUUAUUGCUAUUCUGGGAUAAUCAGGAUAUACAUUACAAUCUUCUUUUGAGCUACUUACCAAAUUUACCCCGCAACUCUCAUUCUUGUGUCCUCCUUCUAUAAUUAUGCGGUAUUUUCCCAUGGAGUUGGUCAUGCCUGAUGAAUUCAACGUCUCUUUUUUAGUUUUGAGACGAUGGCACUGCAAUUGUACGCGUGCACCUACAUUUGAAUAGAAUUGAUUAAUGUCAGAUCUUGAAUUUUCGCCUUUAACAAUUCAUGAAUUUCAACAUACCUGGUAAAGGCUCACUAAGAUUGGAUUGAAAUGCAGAACGACAAGGAUCACAAUAGACACUUCCUUCUAUAAUGAUUACACGAUUUUUAAACCCCUCAAUAAUCACCAACAAGGACAAUAAACAAAUAACACUAGCAAUCAAGAUUACAUGAGCUGAUUUUCCCAUUUUAUGUCCUUUUGUUUUAAAAAUGUAUUCUCUAUAUUGUAUUUUGAAGUCUUUUCUUUUUAUAUAUAUAUAUAUACAUACUUGUAUUUUGGUAGUUACUUUAUUUGGUUAUUGUUGUGUUUUUGUGGUGAGGAAUUUUUUUGAUUUUACUUAAAAUAGUACAUCCAUUACUUUUUUUCUAGUUUAAAUGAAAAAAAAAUAGUUUUUUAAAAAGUACUACAUUAACUCCUACUUAGACUCUUUAUGUUAUUAUUUGUGUUUCUCUCGAACACACAGAUAAAUCAACAAAAUAUGUUGGUUAGUCAAGUCAGGUCCUGCUGAAAGUUCGGGAAAGAGUGGCUAUUAUAUCAAAAUUGAAUAACUAGCAAUAAUAAUUAGUAUAUGACCAAAUACCUUUAAUUAUGAAAUGAAUAAGAACCAAAAAUAUUAAAUUAAUUAAAAAAAUAAAUUAUUCUUACAUCUUAGAAGAAUCGGUCUCUAAAAUAAAUCUCAUGUAGCCAACACUCAAAUAUAAAGAAGAAAAACUCUCAAAUUGGAUUAAUAAUAAUAUCCUACCUUAAAUAACAAAAGAAUAUUCAUAAGAGGCUACAAGCACACAACUCUUUAAACCUAAAAUAAAAACAUAUAUGAUAAUCUUUCCUUUUUUAAAAAUUCGGAUAUCUGUUUAAAGUUUAGUUUUACGCCUCCAAUCUUGUAAAGCAAUGAAAGCAUGCCUCAUAAAUGCUAUAAACAACAUAUCAUGUGUUGGAGGUCGAACUCAAGAACCAAAUUAUAGCUCCCAACUCCCAACUAUAAAACCAUGCUCAAAGACAAUAUUUGCAUUUUUAGCUAUAAAAUCAUGAACUUGACAACUCUUUUCUCAAGUAUUGUGCUAAAGUUCAAACUCAUUGGAGAAACUCUAAUUGAUUGAGCUCAAUUGGCUGAUUGUAACUAACUCCUUCUAACUAAUUGAAGAUAGUUUGUUACAACUAAUCAAUACAAAAGGACUGAUCUACCCUUGAUCAUCUUAAUCGCCUUAACUAACUAACUUAACUACUUCAUUCUCAUAUCUCAUCAAUGACCACUAGAAAAUUAAAAAAAUAAAUCAAUGAAACAUAAAGUAAGGAACCAAAAAGAGGUAUUCUCUCUGUUUCAAUUAACUAGUUAUUUUAAAAAAAUUUGUCUCAUUUCUUUUUUCGGAAAUGUUUUCAAUCCAUUUUGAAAAAAAAUGUCUCUUUUUUCCCCCGAAAACUCUUUAAUUAACUUUUCAAAAUGACAUGUUCGAGACCACAUAAUUAAAAGGACAUUUUGAUACAUUUUAGUUUAAGAUUACAAGAUUUAAAGAUCUUCUUAACUUUGUUAAAUUUCGUAUCAAAUUAAAAUUAGAUAAAUAAAUUAGAACGGAAAAAUACCUGAUGAUGUUGCUGCUAAUAAUCGUGGUAUUUUUGGUUCACGAAUGAUGAUGGGUAUUUUAUAGUACUACGUACUUUUUCUUUUAAAGCUCCAAGGAAUAAAGUUUAGAAACCUCUCAAGCCUCAAAAUCAAAACUCAAACUAACACAAAAUUACAUAAAAAUGACCAUAUCGUCCUUAGUUAAAGUGUAUAUAUAUAGAUGUAAAAUUAAUGACACAUCAAAUAAAUUAAAUGUAGGACGACUUUUAGAACCUGUUUGGAUAGACUUGUUUUAAGCACUUUUCUAGCGUUUAUAAACGCUUGAUUUUAAACUAUAUGAUAAAAAUAAGCUAAAACUCAUAUGUUAGAGAUUUUAACUUAUGAAUCAAAAGUCGAUCCAAACAGACUCUUAAUCUUAUUGUAAUUCAAUUUAAAAUCCUUUAGGCCUGGUUAAUAUCUUUAAGUUCAGGGAGAUAUUCCAUUUCCUUGAAUUCUUGUUGACAUUCUGGUGCUGCUUUUUUGGUCAAGAAAAAGAGAGCAUUGGAUUCACGAUUCUUUCCAGCAAUGCCAUUGUUGCUAGUCAGUGUAACUCUUGAUGAUUCCUUGGUAUGUCCCUCAGUUGGGAUCUCACUGCAAUCUUCUUUUGGACUUUUUAUCAAAUAUGUCUCGCAGAUUUCGUUCUCAUGAUCACCUUCUAUCAACAUGUGGUAAUAUCCAGUGGAGUUAGUCGAAGCAGUCACAGUUAUUGUGACUUGUUCAGUUUCGGGGUGUCGGCAUUGCAUCCCCACCCUCGCAUCUGCACGUGUACGUACAAAUUAAAUAGUUUAGUGCAAAUCUAAACAUUACAAAUGAACUCAUUUAUUCACCAACAGAAAUUAUUAUUUUCGAGUCCAACUAUGAAUUUAUAUGCAAUUUCUUAUUAUUAUUAUUUUUAUCAGACUUUUAAGGUUUUUGUGCACUCCUUUUGAAAGACAUCUAUAGUUUGUUUAGAUUGGCUUUUAAAAAGAGUUUAUUUUUAUUUUUAUAGUAUUUCGGUUUUUAAAAAAAACAUAAAAAUUUAAACACUUGUUUUUAAAUAAAAAAAGACAAAAAAAUAAGGCAGAAAUCUAUAAGUCCUUCCGAAUAAGGUCUUAAUAGCUUUAAUAAUUUUAAUCGGAAUGUAUAUCUUGAGAUUAUAAUUAGAAUGAACUAAAAUUUUCUACCUACUAAUUUAUUAUAUACUCCAUCUGUCCUUAAUUACUUGUCCACUUUUGAAUUGACACACCUAUUAAGAAAACAAUGAUUGACAUAGUGAAUUUACCAUUUUACCUCUAUUAAUUAUGAAGUGGAUGAAUUAAAAACUUAAAAUUUUCAAGAAGUUCUAUAUUUUUCAAAGUAAUUAAUUGAAGAUAUAAUAGGUAAAAAAAAUCGUCCUUUCUUGAUUUGUCAAAAUAGACAAGUAAUUAGGGACAACUAAAAAAGGAAAAAUGGACAAGUAAUUAGGAACAAAUGGAGUAUAUGAUAGAUAAUCUUAGGAUCCUGGUAUAAUUUUUUUCCUAAUUUUAGGUAAUAACCUCAACCAAACACAAAAUAAAUUUAAAUUCAAAAUUUUCAUUGGACAACUCAAUUAAUCCAUCAAAACAAACAACCUUUUAGACUAGUUGCCUUAAUUACCUUUUAUCUCUUUCAAAAAGUCGUGUGUUUGUAUGAAGGAAAAUAUUUUAUUUUUUUUGAAUUAUCUCUAGAAAAAUAAGCUCCUUAAUGAGGAAAAUGACUUUCUUAAUGAAAAUAAAGAAACAAGUUCUCUCCACCCUACCCACCUAACGUUCCCAACCCCCAUCCUUUGACUCUUCCACCCCAAACCCACAAUCCGCACCCCAUCAUAAUAUUUUGCUAACUUACCUAUAAAUGCUCUUAAAAUAAUAUUUUCGUACCAAAUGUACUCUCAAGUAAUUGAUCCAAUAAUAAUGAUAUUAUUUGAAAAAAAAUAUACCUGAAACUGGCUCACUAAGAGUGGUUUUGAAUAUUGAACGACAAGGAUCACAAUACACAAUUCCUUCAAGAAUAAAUUGAUAAUUAUCAGAUUCUUCAUUGGCUUGAGUAAUCCCUAAUAGGGAGAACAAGCAGAUAGCACUAGCAAUAAAGAUUAUUGUUGAUUUUCCCAUUUUUCUUCCUUCUUUUUCUUUCUUUUUUUCUAAAAUAUAUAUUUUUGGCCUUUCUUUGUUUCUUUCUGCAGGUUGCAAAAUCGAAGUUAGAAAGCACCUUUUUUUUGUUUGUCAAAGUAUGGAACCUACAAUCUUGAAGGAAUGCUUUAUAUAUACUUUUAUUAUUCUGGCAGUUAUUUUUUAUUAGGUUGUUAUUUAACUGUAGUCGUUUUGUGGUAAAGAAUUUUUUUUUUUUUUAAAAAUAAUUUCCAAUGGAAGAUAAAAAAGGCAUUCCUCCUAUUUUAACUCUUGUUCUUUAAUUUUUGUUUCCCUAUUUCUCUCCCUUAUACACAAAAAGUAAAAUAAAAAAUCAAAUCAAUGUUUUAUGUUAGUCUAGUCAUAUGCUAAAAGACCAAGGAAAUAAUUCAAGUUUAUUAACUUCAUUUCAAAUAAAUUCAACAGAAAAUUUAGGAAAAUUAAAGUAUACAAUAAUUAACUUAAGAGUAAUUUACCAAAAUAUUUACUAAAUUAUCCUUAAUUAAAUUGUAGUAAGUAGAGUAUCAAUUUAAUCCUUCUUUACAAAUUCACAUACUUGAAACAUGUCUUUUAAUCAUCAUGAUUUUUUUUUAUUUUCUUUAAAAAAGAGUAUAGGUAAAAAGAAUAUAAAGAGGAUUAAAAAGAUAAAAAAAUUGAAUUACUAGACGAAAAUUCACAUAGUCAACCAAAACUAAGUUACUAAAAUGUAAAAAUUAUUCCAACAUUUUUUGUGAGCUACUGGCCUUGUUGCUUCAGUAUUUUUUUUGGUUUCUCAUUCGGUGUUCGGAGCCUAUUUUGGAGUCUCGACUAAAUUCAAAUCGUGCAUUAUAGAGCUUAUUUGGAAGUGGUGCUUGCAAAAAAAGAUUUUUUUUCCAUAUGGAAGGCUGAAGAACUUCUUAUUAAGGUGAAAUACUCUCACCACUACGCCACGACCCAUGUUGGUUGUUGCUUGGCCUUGUGGUAACAAUCACACAGAUAGGUUAAGAUAGGUGGAGAGGAGAGUUACAAUUAUGGGCCUUGUAAGAAAAGAAAAAACAACAAAAAUGGAAUUAGGAAAACGCCAACUACCCCUUUUUAGCUCUUUCUGAGUAGAAGAAGCUUCGUUGAGUUCAACAUCAAUGUCUAGUAAAAAGCAGAGGAGGAUGUUGAAAGUAAGGAAAAAUGGUGGGUGUGAUGUUGACAUAACACACUCUGCUUAGAUUGAUUUGCGCGGAGGAAAAGGAAAACAACAAAGACAAUCCCCAAAGGGUCCUCUUCUCUUUCUACACUUGUUGGGUUAUCCCAUAGCCAUAUAUAGCCAUAUAUAUGGCGUCAUCAGCGACAUUACUUCAUCAUUAUUCUCCUCGCCCUUCUAUCUCUUCCAAUUCUUCUUCUUCUUCUUCAUCAUCUUCUGCUUCUUCUUCGUCAUCUUCUUCCUCUUUUGAUCAACGACGAUGCUUUAAUUGGAAAUUUCUCUGCUUUUCUGGUAAAUCUUUUAAUUUCUCUCUCUCGCUCGCUUUUUUGACUUUGCAAAUUGAUCCAACUUCGAUUUUUUUGUCUAUUGAAUUGAAAUUGAGUUAACCCCUUUGUCUAUUGAAUUGAAAUUUGUGCCAAUUUUGGAUCUUUUCUAUUUUAAUUAGUAGAUUAAUUGAUUCUUGAUGUGAUUUGUUUGAUUUAUCUAGAAAAAGAAGUUAGGGAUGUUUUCAGUGCAUAUUGUUUGGAUUGGUGGUUGAAUACUGAAGUUAAUUGUAAUGCAGAUGGAUAGAAAUGCUAAAAUACACAAAUUAAACCCUUUCUUUCAUUGAGCAAUUUGAUUUUAUCUCAAAGUAGAGUGUGAAAAAAAAGGAGCAGCUAGUAGAUAUUUACAUGUCAGUUAUGGAACAAUUAUCACUGAAUCGAAUAGUUCUAGAUUGAUUUUUCCUGUUCUUAUGGAUUGUUGGAGUUGUCUAAUGUGAAAGAGGGACUGUCAUUCUGCAAAUUGUAGUGAUAGUUGACUGCUACUCACAUAUAUAUCCAUUCUAAGUUUGUAAUCCGAUAACAGAUAUAACUUGAGCCUUUUGUUCCCGCUUGUCAUUUGGAUUUGCCAUCUUCUUAAGGUUUCUUUUUUUGGAUACUUCUAUUGCUAAGGAAAUGAAAGGGAAGUCGUAUUUUAUACUAGCUUCUCGAUUCUAAAGCGAGAGAACCUUGCACAGGACAUUUAGUUGGUUACUUACUGUAGAAAUCACUUUAGAAAUGGCUUUAUGUGCGUCCAGGCCUAACUUGGAUAGGAUUGAACUGACCAUGAGCUUGCAACUAUUGGAGACUGCAAUGUAAUUAACUUUCCAAUCAAAUAUUUGGGGCUCCUGCUAGGGGAAGGUUCAAUUGGGGAAAAUGUGGUGACCGGUGGUUCAGAAUUUUGGGGUAGAAGAAAAUCUACUUAUAAAACGUUGGAUAAGAUCAUUUUGAUAAAGGCAACAUUAUCAAAUACCAACCCACGUCAUAUCCUCAUUUCUUAUCUUUGUUUCAGUUAGUAAGAGAUUGGAGAAAUUAAUGAUAACUUUUCUCUGGGAUCUUGCAAAAGAGAAAAGAAAGUACCAUCUUGUGAAUUGGGAAAGGGGUAUGACCCCAUUGAAAGUAGUGGGGGUUGGGAAAACGAAUGCUAGAUAUCUUAAACAGAUCAUUGUCGCGAAAAUUGUUCUGGAGGUUUGCCAACAAAGGGGGAGCCAUGUGGAAGAUUGUCAUAAAUAAGGUGGUGACCAAUAUCAGUGGCUAGUGAAGGAAGUAACGUCAUCUUAUAGGAAAAAUCUGUGGAAGGAAUGAAGGACAAGAUGGACUUUUGCAAAGUUUAUCGAAUUCCAAAUCAGAAAUAUGAAUCCACUUCAGUUCUGGCUAAACCUCUAAUGUGGGAUAACACUUUGAAAGAUGACUUCCUACCCCUGGCUGGCAACAAGGAGGUUGUAGUAGCUGAGAUCCUUGAAAUGACACACACAUUUGUUUUGGAAUGUAGCUUCUAAAGGACCACUGCAGUAUUGAGAAUAUGACAAGGUGAACUGUUUCUACUGAGGUUGUGUAUUCACUCAUAAUACAGGAAAACAGGUGGUAUGAUUUGAGAGGGAUACCUUGGAAGCACUGCAUUGUCAAACCCUAUUAUAGGUACUGAAUCAGAGAAGGGGAGCUCGAGCUCAAAAGCCAGACGUUUGUGGAGAGGUUUAUGAAAGACAAGGCAGCAAAGAAGAUGUCAUUUUUAUCAAGUUAUGCAACUUAAGAAGCAAUAUUGGCCAUGACCAAUAAAAAGAGAGAUUGUAUAGCAGUGUUAUCAAAAGCAAAAAGGACAAAAAAGCUCUAAGGUCCAUUGUGCCUUUAAGCGCAAAUAAAAUGUGGGUUUAAAAGAAAAAAGGUGCAAGGGGAGAAACAAGAAAAAUACAUACUCCACCUGUCCCAAUUUAUGUGACACACUUUCGUUUUUAGUUGGUCCCAAAAAGAAUGAUACAUUUUCAUAUUUAGUAUUAAUUUAACUUUAAAAUAUCCAUUUUACCCUUAAUGAGAUAUCUAUGACUUGUUUUUAAAUCACAAAUUUCAAAAGUCUUUCUUUCAUUCUUAAACUCCAUGCCAAGUCAAAGAACAUCACAUAGAUUGGGAUGGAGGGAAUUUAUAUAUGUUUAGUCCAAGACUAAUGAUUAUAAGCAUGAAUGGCAAAUAUAUGUUGUACUUUUGCAAAGACACUUACCCUCCCCAUACCUCACUUGUGGGAUACACUGUGGGAUACACUGGGUAUGUUGUUGUACUUUUGCAAAGACAACACUUUUUUGAUGCAUUGUUUAUGCAAUUUUUGGGAAAAAAAGGUCUAGGCAUAGAGAUAGUUACAUGAUAAUUUUCUAAGUCACCAAAUUCUUAAUUAUAGACUGACAUAUUAUCCAAAUUUUAGUCAACAUUUAAAAGAAUUUCAAAGUUGGAAUAUUUUAGGAUGUAUAGGAUGGACAAUUCAAGGUGUAAGGUGGCAAACAACUCAAGGUGUAAAGCGUGAAAGGGGUGAACAACUAAGGCGUAAAGAGUGCAAUGGAUUUUGUGCGAAUAUUAGCUUCACCUUUGAGACAUUGGUCAGCACAUAGGUAAUUAUGCUAUUGUUUAAUCAACUGGUGAGAAGGAUAUAUUUUAGUCUUUGCCAUAUUGCUUGUGCUUAUAUAAUUGGAGCUGUUAGUUGCUUCUAUCCAAUCCCUUACCUGAGGUUGCAAUUUUAAUUGCUCCAUCUUACGUAUACUACACUCAUUAGGGUUGAAACUGCUCCAAUUUUUAUUUUUUUGAUUUCCUGUUCCCCUUGAAGUUAUCACUAUUUCACCAACUCUUAGACUGAAGUCUGCUUUUUAGACAAAUCAAUACUGUUUGUUCAGUGAUUAUAUUCCAGGCUAGAGCCAUAGAAUCUGCUCUCCUUUCUCCUGGUGGAUUGUGCAGUUGGAAACGAUUUCAUUAAGUUUUAUGUCAUUUAUGCUAUUGUAGUGCCCUUGGUGAACAGGUUUUGUCUCCUCUCUAAUUGCAGUCAACUGUUUUCUGAAUUUUGAAUAGCCACGUAGUAUAUCUGAGUUAGUACAUAGUUUCUUGCGUUCUUCUGCAAAAUCCUUAUUGUUGCUUACACUUCAAAUGUCUUGGCAAGUAUAAACCCAUUUUUUUAAUUUUUUUUUUUGUAAAUUGUUUCUCUGAGGAUUUUGUCUGCCCAUCUGCAGGGAUAAACAACAUCUGUAGAAGUCAAAGCUUUAGAGCCCAUGCAAUGGGUACAACUGAAGGAAGUGUUAUGUCUCCGAAAGUCUUGACAGAUACGGGGGAUGAACCUGAACAUCUUCUAGUCCUUGUUCAUGGCAUCUUAGCAAGGUAGGGAGCUUUGUUUACUUAUCCUGAAGGAUGCUUUCACGUGUCUACAAACUUUAUAUACAUGUGUGUAGAUAUAAUAUGUAUGUACAUGCAAUUGAAAAGGCUACAGUUGACUCCUCUGAGGUGGUUGGGGUUUACCCACUACAACAACAUACCCAGUGUAAUCUCCCAAGUGGGGUCUGGAGAGUUAGGAUGUACAUACUUCACCCCUACCUUAAUGGGGUAGAGAGGCUGUUUCUGAUGGGGUUUACCAUAUUAAAAAAAGGAGUUUCAAUCUGAAUGGAGUAAAAAAGUGCCUGUUGGUCUUUCCUCUAUUUUUGCAGGGCUGUUGAUUUGAGUAGUCAAUUUUCCUGUAGUCAACCAUGCUCAAACCUUGACUUUCUAAGUGCUCAAGCAAGGAAAAGCUUUAACAUUGAGAAAACAUUAUGAUCAGAACCAAUAACAUUUUAUUUUUUAUGUGACCUUUGGUAUGUAAAUAUUAUGUUCGAGUAGUAGUGCUAUCCCGAGGUUAGGUUUAAGAGGUCUUACAUUCUCACUUUCAACACACAUCACAUGGUUGGAACAUCUCUUUUUCCCAGAGUACGAAACUUGACCUGAGAAAAUCUCCAGGUGACAUACAUGUCUAUAUCCGUUUAUCACUUUUAUAUUUCGCCCUUGAACCUUUUUCCAUGUUCUUGAGGUUGAUUUACUUUCUAUUCCAUGAUCUGGUUGUCAAGGGUUGUGUCUGAUAUUUGUGUAUGGGCACCGUCUUAAUUGCUGAUAUAUCACCCAUAUCAGUCAAUUAAGUACGCCUCAACCCCAAAUAAAUGUUCAUAUCUUCCAUAGUAAAAAAAUUCUUCCUGAAAAUUAGCAUGCUGCUGUUUGCAUCACUGAUCUUUCCAAAGAAUGCAGCCCAAGUGACUGGACGUAUGUACAAGCAGAGUUGAGAAGGCGGUUGGGAAGAAACUUUUUGAUAUAUGGUACAUUUUUUAGUGAAACUUAUCCUUAUAUUCUCAUGAAUUUAUUUUUUAAUUUUCUAGGUUUUUCUUCCUUCAAUUUUGCAUGCUACACCAAGAAAGUAAAUGCUUAUAUUCGAAUUCCAAGAAGCUAUCUGACUUUCUUUUUGUGGCGUUCAGCAAGUUCAUGUAAUACGUUCACUAAAACCUUCACUGGGAUUGAUGGAGCUGGGAAACGACUAGCAGAUGAAGUGAGUAUGUAAAAGAGGUCACUGUGCUGUAUAGUUGCGAGUCUGGUGCUACUGUGUGGUCUCAUGGUGUAGGAAAGGUGGCUAUAUUUUUCUUGUUUGGUUGGGGCAGAAAUAUGAUGCUACUAAGCUUUUUUAUUUUUAGUUCUCUUUUAGGUUAACUUGUUUUUUUUUUUUUUUAAUUUGUAUGGUUAGCGUUGGUUUUUGGUUAUGGCAAUACUCUAUUCAAAGCAAUAAAACCCUGACAGGUAGGUAUAUCCUACGGUGGUACUUGCUGUUUAAGAAGUGUAGGUCAAUCUUGUCUUGCUGUUUUGCAGCAUGUGAAUAAAAUUUCAGCUCAGUACAAUAUUUGCUGAAAGAUGUCCAGCUUUUCCAUCAGUGCAUCACAUAUAGAUUUUUCUAAUUGUCUAAAGUUGGCCUCUAUAUACCUUAUACUUCAUAUGCAUAUUUCCAACAUAAUUAAAUAAUUUUUUUUGUCAAAAGCUAGUUGUUUCGGCCUGCAUUCUGUAUUCGUCUCAGAAACUCCAAUUAUGUCAAGGAAGUAUAUGAAUGGUCAAAUUUCACCUUUUUUUACCAAAUCCAAAAAAAGAAAAGUUUAUGAAUGGUCAAAUAGUUUCCAGCCACACACUUCUGACAUGAAAACAUAACCCUCUUGAACCCGUGCUUAUUUGGUGGCUACUUUCAAGUUUCCAAUAUAUAGGUUGUGCUUACAAAGUGAAAUUAUGAACGCUCAUCUUCCUUAUUUUGAACUUUUGAUUAUGAACAGGUCAGGCUGGUUGUAAAGAAGAAAGAAAGCCUGAAGAAGAUAUCCUUUUUAGCUCAUUCUCUUGGUGGAUUGAUUGCAAGAUAUGCACUUGGCGAACUUUAUUCAUCAGACAACUGUAAUGAGCAGUCCAAUGAUGCAGUCACUUCAACUAGUGCAAACCUCAAACCAGUAGGCUCCUUAGAUAUAGGAUUGAUUGCUGGCCUGGAGCCAGUCAAUUUUAUCACCUUGGCAACACCACAUCUUGGUGUGAGAGGGAAAAAUCAGGUCUGUUCUCAUGGUACAAUCUUAUCACUUAUGCAUCAAAAAUCUUAUCUCAGUGUUUCUUAAAUGGGAUGUUAUCGCCCUUUUUAAUAAAAGUAAUUUACCUUUACCUACUAUACUUGUCCUUAAAAAGUAACUAGAUUAUGUCCAUUACAAUACCUUGUUUUUAGGGAUUCAGUUGUUUUUAUAUCCUAUUUUCUUGCUUUUAAAUGUGUAAAUCUCGUAAUGGAGUCUCUACCUGGAAAUUCUGAAACUUGAGUGGAAUAGUGGGUGCCAGUGGAGUAAAAACUUUAAAAACGCUUGUAUUAGUUCUAACUUAGAUGUUAAAAUGGUAUCUUAUUUGUAAAUUGUUGUGCUCGGGUACCUCAUGCACAUCUAUAACAGAGUGCAUUCAGUCAUUUGUUUUUUUGGGGCAUUUACGUAGUUUCUAUACGAAUGUCUAAUAGCAGUCAUCGUUUCAUUUGACACGUCUUAAUAUGUUUGAUACCAUUCUAUUCUACAUAAAUUUCACAACCUUCGAAGUUCAAAUUUAUCAGUUAAUUCAAAUUUUAAAUUUGAGAUAUGUGAUCUCUGUGCUCUUAACUUUUUCAAAAUUUUCCGUCGUUGAUGUAAUACAUACAAGUCAAAGUAGUGUAAUAAAUUUUGGACCCCGAGUCCAUUAAAAUACCAUUAUGUAAAAUGGGACAGAGGCGAGGGGGUAAAAUUUUGUGAAUUCUUCGUAAGAGUAAAGGCUUAGUGUGAAAUACUAGAAAAGUUGAUAUCAUCAGUUUUUAUUGUGUGCUUUAUGAGGAUAAAAGGAUAGAAGCCUGUAGAUAUGCACGGCUGUGAAAAAGCUUUUUGCUUGGCAUGCAACUGCUGGAAAUUUUUGUAGUCUUCAUCAUCUUUGCAGAAUAUCCAAAAGAUACUUGCUACUCCUAUUUUACUUCUGUGUGGAUCCUUCCUUUAAUUGGUGCACAAAUCUUAACAGGUAUCAAUGAAAUGGCCAAAAGAACUUUUCAUUUACUAUAUUUUAAUAUCUUUUUCCCUUAUCAAAUGUUGUUUUAAAUAAGAGCACCAUUUUAAGAGAAAGUUGGAAAUUUAUAUUGUUUAAUAUUGAAUGAGAGAAACUAUGCCAGUACUUAUUUACUUAAAUAAAUUAUACAAGUGUUGAUCAAUAUUUACAAGUCAAGAAAAUGAAACAUAACACAUUCUAUUUCACUAAAGCAAAUAUCAGGAAAGAAAAGAACCAUGAAUUAAACAUUAAGCCACAUGGUAUAGCAAAAAACAAAUGCCUUACCAGGCUGUCAAUAAGUUCUGUGUCAACAAACCUGAAGCCAGUUAGUCUGAGCUCAUAUUAUCUUAGGUAUAAGAGGAUAUCAUAAUUUGGGACAUUAAUGUUAGGUUGAAUGAGUCGCUAAGUGUUUUCUUGAAUCAGUUUAAACCAUAAUGUGUUUAAAUUCUCAGAAUUUGGAUGGUAUGUUAUUAUUAAUAGCUUAUCUUGAAAAAAAGUGUUAUGAUCACUUCGUAACGGCCCCUGACAUCAGGACAGUUGAUUAGCUUUUACUUUUCAGCUUCCUUUUCUCUUUGGGUUGCCAAUCUUGGAGAAACUUGCAGCACCUAUAGCUCCUAUAUUUGUUGGUCAAACUGGUAGUCAGCUCUUCCUUACAGAUGGCAAACCUACUAAACCACCUCUUUUGUUAAGGAUGGCAUCAGACUGUGAUGAUGGAAAAUUUAUGUGAGUAGAAAUAUCUCCACCAGUCCUUGAAGCAGCUGUUUCUCCAUGCCUUUCUUUUUACCUUAUGCCUGGAGUUUCCUUAUUGCAGAUCAGCGCUUGGUGCUUUCAAAUGGCGUGUUCUUUAUGCUAAUGUCUCUUAUGAUCGUAUCCUGUUGGAUCUCAUUUGUUGUUUCUUCAUUUAAUUAGCAAAAUUAAUUCAUUGAUAAAGUUCAUUCCAGUGCUUCUUCUCUCAAUAUUUUGAAGUGAUUGCAGUGGUUUCUUGACAUUAUCUAGAUAUGGUCGGUUGGCGUACAUCAUCUAUAAGAAGGGUGACAGAACUUGUCAAGGUGAUUUGUGAUUUACUAUUCAUUUGUUACUUUAAUUGUCCAUAAAUAUAGGUCUGUGAAUGUUGACAUUUAGUCAAGAUAAAAACAGAAAAGGACAUUCAAGUAUAAUUCGUUUGGCUAAGCACGAUUUACUCAAGGGUCCCGAUCUAAAGUUUAUUCGUCCAGAUCUAAUUGACAUUCCUGCGAAGAGGUAUUGGGACAAUAUGAGAACUGAGUUUUUUUUUUUAAAAAAAAAAAAGAGAACUGCAAUUUGAAUAAGCCAGAACAAUAGGAAGUACAAAGUAAUAUUUGCAAUGAGAACUGCAAGAAUGCCCUAUAUCAGAACUAUUAAUUAGUUUCAUUUUGUUUGUACAAUAAUUAAAACUUAAAGGUAUAUCAGAUAUGAGAUGAAAUAGCUUGAGUACCAUACACUGCCUUGUAGUAGGUGAACCUAAACCGGAAAAUUUCUCUAUCAACUUUUCUUCUACUGGAACCUUCGGUUUUAAUGUUGCUUAGACAAUAAUGAAAACUUAAAAGGCAUAUGCACAUAACCUGCACAUGGGUAGGUAAUCAUCUCUCCAUCCAUGAUAGCAUGUAACUUGCCUAUAUAAGUUUUCUUUGUUGGGGAUUAGACAAUAGAAAUUACUUUGACACUUCAUUUGCAUCUUCUCUUGAAACAAAAAAGAAACCUUGAUUUUAUGUUUGGUGUACUGAAAUUAGAAUUUAGAAACUGUUACAGGUUUUAGACCUUUACUUGUAUACAAGCUUCCUUGUUUGGGAAAUUUGAUUUCUCAAAGUUACACUAUGUUAAGAAUGUGCCACCAAGACUUACCCUUCGGUGUGGCCCAGUGGUUUGGGCUUGGGACUUCCAUGUUGGAGGUCUCAAGUUCGAAACCCCUUGCCAGCGAAAGCAAGAGCUUUACCUUCUGGGUCGAGCUCGUCGCACCGGGCUUGCGUAGUGCGGGUUGCCUCUCCAGUGUGGUUUGCGAGCUAUUGCAUAGGAGCGGGGGUUUUACCCUGUGCACACCCAAAGGGUAGCGGCUGCGGGUUUUCCUUGUCUUAAAAAAUAAAUAAAAAAAUGUGCCACCAAGACUCAAGGUAAGUUUUAUAAAGUGGUUGUUAGACCAGUUAUGUUGUAUGGGGCGGAGUGUUGGCCAGUAAAGAACACACUUCCAAAAGAUGGGAGUAACGGAAAUGAGGAUGUUGAGAUGGAUAUGUGGACAUAGUAGGAGAGAUAAGAUUAGAAACGAAGAUAUUCGAGACAAAAUGGGAGUGAACUUCGUGGUGGACAAGAUGAGCGAGGCGAAGUUGAGAUUGUUAGGACAUGUAAAGAGGAGAUGCAUAAAUGUCCUAGUGAGUAGGUGUGAGAGGUUGGCUAUGGUGGGUAUGAGGAGAGGUAGAGGUAGGCCGAAGAAGUAUUGGGGAUAGUUGAUUAGAUAGGACAUGAUACACCUGCAAGCUGAUUAGAUAGGACAUGAUACACCUGCAGUUGAUCAGAUAGGACAUGAUACACCUGCAGUUGAUUAGAUAGGACAUAAGUCGAGCAUUGUCUACUUAUCCUUAUCAGUAUUAUUAUUAAUAUUCUCCUACUAUCUUAUUCUUCAAGUUUACUAUUACUUGUUGUUUCCUUCGCUUCAGUAUCGUAUUAUUUGUUGUCGCUACAAUUCUUUCCCCAUUAUUUUCUACAUGACUUCUUCACUACUUCACUACUGUAUUUCCUUUGCUUACUGAUUUUGAUAUGUUUUUCUUGAGCCGGGGGUCUAUCUGAAAUAACCUCUCUGCCUUCAUAAGGUAGGAGUAAGGUUGCGUACACACCACCCUCCCCAGACCCCACUUGUGGGAUUACAUUGGGUAUGUAGUUGUUACAAUAUUUUAAGUUAGAAUUACUUGGUAGUUUUCCAGAGAUGAAAUGAACUUAUAUGAUGGUGAGUUACUGUAUGUCCCGGAUGAAAGAAUGACUUUACUUUGAAUGAAAAGAAGAAGUAUUUAAUUUAUUGUUUUAGCCCUGGAAAAAAGUCUGUUGUAGUUGCCUACUGUCAGGCGAAGGAUGAGAUGCAAUUGAUCUUUACAUUGAGGGAGCUGUUCAGUUCUCCUCAACUGGCACUUCAAAUUAUGAUUCUCAGCACAGUUAUUCAAUGACUUAUAAGUCUCUUUUUUCUUCAUUCCCUAAAUGAGGAAGUGUAUACUUUAUGCAACUGACACUGAUAUCCUUUAGUAAAUGGCAAAAGAAUAGUUCACACUGUGCUCAUUUUAUGGCUGGAUAUGUCUUAUUAGUCUUCAUUUCUAAGUAUCUGCUGUGUCAUGCAUGCAUACUUGUGAUUCUCAUAGUUGGAUGAAUAUAAUACUCAUAAAAGCAUGGUAUCAUGAAAUCUUAUUCAUUAGCAGGAUUUUAGCUGUAGAACUUUGAAAAAUAACGAUCUGGAAACAGAGUUUUCUCCUAGGAGUUCAUUACACAACGAUUUUGUUUGUGUACAAUUCUAAAAUUUUAUUGAAAUGGCAGCCCCCUUGGCGAUCUUUGGAUGGCUACAAACAUGUAGUAGAUGUGGAGUAUUGUCCUCCAGCUUCAUGCGAAGGACCUCAUUACCCCUUAGAGGCAGCCAAAGCAAAGGAGGCAGCCCAAAAUGCACCAAGCACACAGAGGACAUUAAAAUAUCAUGAAAGUAUGGAAGGUAAUAGUACUAAUAGAGCUGUUUCUGUUUGUUGCAAUGAAUCUCAAUGCCACUAUCUCUAUAUCAUACUAGAAUCUUACUACUCUUUUCGAACAGAGGAAAUGAUACGUGGCUUGCAACAGUUGGGGUGGAAAAAAAUUGAUGUUAGCUUUCACUCAGCGUUCUGGCCCUUUUUUGCACAUAACAAUAUCCAUGUAAGUUCCUUCCAUAUUCCAUUUCCUUAUGUUCCUCCCUGUCUGGGUUCUAAUUCGAUCACUAUUUUCUGGUGACAGGUGAAGAAUGAGUUUUUUCACAAUGCUGGAGUAGGAGUAAUUGCUCAUGUCGCAGACCACAUAAAGCAACAAGAGAAGCAACCUGAAUCUUCCUCCUUAAUUACCCCUAGCUUGUAACUCAUAUAGUUGUACAGAAAGCAAUCCAGCAUACAUUUAAAUGAAAUCAAAACGCUAUAAUUGAUUGGAAAUGUAUAUUUUUCUGAACACUACUGGUUUACUUGGUUAUAAGCCAGGUUUUUCGUUAAGCAUAUUCAAGAUAUAUGUAUAGUGAUAUGAUUUUUGGUGAAGGGUGUUUAAUUGACCACCCUUUGCUCCGUCACCAGUUUCAAUAGGAAGACUGUUGAUGUUAGCAUUGUACCCUGUAUUGGUUGUUAUCUAUGACAUAUUAUGUGAUUUGCUCUUUUCCGUGUUCGAAAGGUAAAGUAAAUUGAAGUACAAUAGUGUGACAAUAUAAAGGGAAAAAAAUACAUAUAUAAAUUUAAAUUUGGAUAAUGCAAGCAAAAGAACACAUCUAUCGUACAACUUGAUUCUGAUUUCAUUGUAGCAAAUGAAACAUAUAUAUAGGGAAAAGUAGAGACAAAAAGAGAGCAAACAGAGAAUUGCAGAACCCCCUAAUGAGCAUAUUUAAUUUUACUUCAAAUCACAUUAUAGAACAACCAGUUGCAUUGUCAUCGCUAAACAUGUGCCUGGUUCGUUCAUCGAAAAUGGUAUUGUAAGGUAGCUCUGCAUAGGAACCGUGAGCAUGGCCAUUGUAGCCAUGCACGCGGUAGUUGUAGGAAGAAGGCGGGGCAUAGUAAGUGCCCGGCCUGCUGUAGAAUGUAUCAUAAUAGUAAUGAUGCAUAUAGUUAUGGUAUUCAGGAUUGUAUGGAUAUGGCCAUAGUUCAGCUCUCUUUCCAGUUUUUCUCACUGUUUUGAGGAUUUUUUUCUGAUCUGCCCACCCUGUUACUGUCACCUUUUGCAUGUUCAUGUCUAUGUCAAUGUUGUCCACUCCUGUGAAUACCGAAAAUGAAACAAAAGUAUAUUCAAGGGUUUUGUAACAAAUCAAUUACUCUAUUUUUUAACAAUACCAGAAGUUGUUAUACAAUAGUUGGAAAAAAAUAGUAUUUUCCCAGAAGCAUGUUUCGAGUCUUGGCCAAGCACAAAUUGUUAAUUCUAAUAUUAACUAAGUAUUUUCGAAUUGAUUAAUCAAACCCCUAGUAUUUCAAACUACUCUUACAUUUGAGAAAACAAAUUAAUAGAAUAAGGAUAAAAAAAAAAGGAUCAAUUCUUCAAAUCAUAUUAAUAUUUAAUGAGUUAGGUCCCAAGAAUUAUUGGGUAAUGAGAAAAAUCCAUUCCAUAUCCAAGCAAUAAGCAUAGAGAGUUGGAGACAGAAAAAAAUUCACCAGCUGUGUGAAUGACGACUUUGGUCAUAUGCCUAUUUGGUGGAUAUAUAAUAAUUUAAAUUUCCAACUAAAAGUUGUAAGAAAAUUAUUUUAUAGGAAAAGAUCAUUGUAUAAGAUAUGCUUUCAUAUUUAUUAUAAUUCUAUUACAAAGCUGGGCAGGGUUGUCUUAUAAAAAAAAAUCUAAAUAAAAGGUAUUGUGAUAUACAAUACUAUUGAAAAAUAAGGACUUAGCAACGGGCAAAAUUUAUAGCUAAACAACAAAAAAUUUAUGCUAAUUUCAUUUAGUUAUAAGUUAGGACGGAUUUUAAGAACAUUCAUAUAGCUUAGAAUCUAUUUAGCUACGAAUUAGCUAAAGAAUACCCACAAAUUCAGUAGCUAAUUCUAUGUUUCUAAAAAGAAAUUAAUACCAACCACGAAGCUUCUUGAGAGCCUUUCUUAUUUUGCUUUCGCAUCCUUGACAAUCCAUGUGCACUCUCAUUUCCACAAUCUAAAAUGAAUAAUGUAUAACUUAUUAUACGAUCGUCUCGUUAUAUUUAAAAUAUUUACACAAUCAAAUUAUAUAUGGUAAAAUUAUCGAUAAAUUUAUAUUAUAAAAAUUGAUUAUAACUAAUCUGCCAUCACAUAUUAUAAUAAAAAUAUAAUUUAAAUUGUUUAAUUUGUAUCAUCAUUCAUAGCACUUUCCCUAUUUUAAGCAUUUAUUUGUUAAUAUAUAAUCUCUCUUAUAACGGCUACGGCGCAAUAUGGCAAGUCAUCAUGAAAAACAAAGUAGAUUGUACCCCCUUUAUUUUUUUUUAUUAUAUAUAUAAGCUCAAUUUUUUUUUAGCUUAACAUUAUUAAUUAAAAAAAGUAGAGAUAUUGGAGUGGAAGAGCCACUAAUUAGUACAUUUUCUUACUCUUUGUUGCAUUCUUUUCGAGCCACUAACCUUAAAACAAUUCUCCUUUUAUACUCAACAGAAAAAAGAAUAGCUAGUAACAUGCACAUAGUAUUGAGUUCUCUUCUUUAGCAUGACUAUAGAAGUGUUCAUUACUACUAGUAUUAUUUAUCUUCAUUUGACUAGAAGAUACAAAGAUGUUUAAAAGAUAAACAGAUCAUACUCAUGUUAUAUAUUCAUGUACCAGACUACAAGCUAGUAUUAUCUAAUUAUGUGACAUUUUUAACUUCUGAAGAGAGUCAAAUUGGCUAAUUUUUGAACUAUCGAAUUUAAUGAUCAACUCAAUAUUUUAAAAUAUUUAAAUGUUGGUAAAAAAAUUCAACUAGUUCAAAUUUCGGAAAACGAAAAGUCACAUAAAUCGACGGAGGGAGUAGUAUAAAAAAACAUGGUCAAAAACUUUUUUUUAGUACUAGCAUUUCAAAAUAGAGAUUAGCUCUUUCUCAUUCCUCUCUAGUCUUCAACCUCAUUCAUAUUUUCAAAUAUAUACCGAAGAAGAACGAGACAUAUCACUUUAAAGAAAAACAAUAAGAAGAGGAAUUUAAUCAUGAUAACAUACACAUAUUUAUAAGAAGAGAGAUAAACUCAAAUAAUGUUCCAAUUUAUUUCUCACUAUACACUUAUGCUACUGUAGUCCAAAAGGAGAGGAAAAUAUAUAACAUGAGUAUAGAGAGAAAUAAAGUGCAAAAAAGUUAGAAAUCAAUGUGGGAUUUAAGGUGAAGCAAUGGAAAACACAAACACAAAGAGGGGACGGAGCUAGAAGGCAACUUAACUUACGGCUUCGUCCUGAACUCUAUAUUUGUGUUAUGAAAUUAGUAAAUAUGAAUAUAUAUUAAAUUUAGAAUCCAAUUAUUAGCAUUUGAAGUCGUUGUAGUAUUCAGAACCCAUAAAUUCAAAUCCUGGCUCCACGUAUGCACACAUAGUCUCAAAACAUAUAAACACACACUCAUGAUCGAUAGCAAAAUUAUUAUACCAUAUUAUAUAUUCUUCUUUAUUUUCUCCUUUAGUUAUGGGGUUGUGAAUGGUAAUUAAGUAGCAUUUAAACCAAAAAAAAAAAAGAAGAAAAAAAGACAUGAGUUAAGAAGCAGACCGUCAUAUUGUGUGACUUUGAGACGAUGGAGGAGCUACUAGCAACACAAAUGUAAACUUCCUUUAGAUGAAAUAAUUAAUGUCUAAGUUUAAUUCGUAUUCCUUUGUGUGUCUAUAGACUAUACUAAUAUUGUGUGUUUAUAUACACACAAAACUUGACCUGGACAGGCAUGAUUAUCUAUUAAUUGGAGCGUAUACAAUAAGAAAGAUAAGGAAAAAUAUGACUAAAAAUAGUACUAUAUAUAUAUUUUUUUAAAUGUGGUCCAACCCACAAUAUAAUCAUAUUUUCUUUUCUUUUCACAUUUUUAUUUGACCAUCUAUAGGUUGUUAUUAAUUUUUGGAGACAAACCUUGUGCUAUGAGGGCCACAAAAGUUUCAAGAAAAUAAUAAUAAGAAGGAAUGGACCAUGUUAGAAAGCACACUGAAGUUGCGGCUUUGAUAACUAGCUAGAGUGGGUCAUUUGCAUUUUUUGCCCCCAUUUUGGGUUGGUUUCAAACUUUUGUCCCUCAAGAUAAACGUUUUUAGGGACACAAGCUUAUAUUUUCGCAUUAGAAUAUUUUGCAAGUUAUGUUUCGCAUUUUUUAUAAAUUUAUGUCCUCAAGGUAUGAGUUUGGUUUUUAAAGACAAAAAUUAAAAAUCAGCUUAUUUAAAGCUUGAAGGGACAAUCGUGCAAUCAAAUGAGCAAUGAGCUAGAGUCCACUCAUCUAUUCAACUCCUUGUUUUGGGGAAAAUUAAAGGUAGUUGCAAUAUAUGUACUAUAGAGUAAUGUAAUAACAAAGAAAUUCAUUCUGAUCUUGAAAAUACAACCAAUCUUGUAUAAGGACAGGCGUUAUCGUGAUAAUGAUUUUUAAAUCAAUAUAAUAGUCCCUUUUUAUUUUAAUUCCAGUAAUAUCAUAUAAAUUUACUGACUUUGCCUUCUUAUUUACAAGGACUAUUUAUUAUUAUCUCACCACUAUCUUCUUUAUGACCUGAAUUUUUCAAUCUUAGUUUUCGCAUACUUGCGAAUAAUAAAGUUUGCUGAAACCAUCAAAGGGAUUGUUAUAGUAAUUAAGAAUGUAUAAGAAAAAUCAUUGAAAUUGUAGGGUAUUUUACUAAAAUUGUCAAUUUUACUUAAAUGUCAAGACUAGUGUCGUAUGUACAUAACACUGCACACUUGAUUGAGUACAAAAAAAGUUUUUGACAUAUUUCAAAAGGCUUGAAGUUUGCUUCGUUAUUUACAUGAUAUUGACCCCUAGCUCUAGCUGCAGCUACAUCUUAUAGAACCUUUUUGGUUCUUUUAAUUUUGGUGUCACAAUAAUUAAGUAAUCGAAAAGAAAUAAAUAUUGAUAGGACUGUACUCUAAACUUGAUGAAAAUUCCCAGAAUAUUGAUCAAUUAUGUAAGUAUGCUAUAAUACUAAUACCUUAUUUUGAUGUAUAUACUUCAGUACCUAACUUGUGGUUUUUGACUUAUUUUUGUUAUUUUGACUUAAAAACAAGCGUUUAAAGUACCUUUUUUUUUAAUCUCACCCAAACACUACAAAAAUGCUUAAAAACACUUAAUAUAAGUCAAUCCAAACAUGUUCAUAGUCAAAUUAACAUAUAAUAGGCAUAUAACUCCAGAAAUUGGCCUACUUCCACUACUAAAAAGACAUCGAAUUAUCCCUUGCUAAUCCGUCACUAAAAACUUCUAGCUAGUUUGAAAUUUUAUUUAAUUUAUCGCUUAUCCGUAACUAAAUGAAAUUAUCAUGAAAUUUUUGUUGUUAAGCUACAAAAUUUUGUCCGUUGUUAAUUUCUUGUUUUCUAGUAAUUAGUGUUCCUUAAUCCAAUCCAACCAAGCCAGGUACCUUGGAUUAGCCUCUUGAUGCAGCAGAAUUGUCAUCUUAUUCUUGGAAUGAACCAAGAAAAGGGCAGACAAAUUGCAUUUGAUAAAACUUAGGUUUCAUUGGUUUGUCCAUCAAGUAUUUUGUCUCUUCGCAUAGUAGCACAUAAUAAAUUCAAUUUCACUCAAGCAGAGAAGCAAAAAUAGUGAUCAAGAACGUAACACGCGAUUUUUUGAUAACAAAGUCGAGAUUAUUCAAAGCUAGUAAUAGCCAUGGCAGAAAAGGAAGGAGCAAUUGUCAAAAAGGGACAUGAGGAAGGUUUGAAAAUGGCAGUUUCCCUACUCGAAGAAUUCGGACUCCCAAUGGGGCUCCUCCCUCUUGCUGAUGUGAUCGAAGUGGGAUUCGUGAAGAACACAGGCUACAUGUGGAUCCAGCAAAAUAAAAAAAUUGAACACAAGUUCAAAAUGAUCAGUAAAAUGGUAAGUUAUGACACUGAAAUAAAUGGAUAUAUUGACAAGAAAAGAAUCAAGAAGCUCAAGGGAGUGAAAGCUAAGGAAUUGAUGUUAUGGCCUCCAGUUAAUGAGAUGACUGUAGAUGAUCCUCCCACUGGCAAGAUUCAAUUCAAGAGUCUGGCUGGCAUCACCAAAACAUUCCCAGUUGAAGCUUUUGCUGCUGGCCAGUAAUGGAAAUGGAAUAUAUAUUUUCUGAUUCAUGACACUUGUGUGUUUUCUAUAUUGUUUGCUUUCUUGGUAGAAAGAUAUUAUUUCUUGGAACUGAGGUUUCUCGGUUUUUAAGUAAGUAAGAAACUUUGUUACCUGGUCUUCCUUUAUUAGGGGCCUUAGCUAGUGAUCCGGUAUAUAGAAAUUAUUGUAUAUGUCAAAUAACAUCGGAAGUGUUGGUUCUAGAAAAUGAAAUGUCUAAUGUUUUUUCACCCAAAGAACUUGUUGUAUUGUUGAGAGUAGAACGAAUGGGGUGCGCUUUGGAAAUCUAAAUAGUUGAGUUAUCGUGCUCAGUAACACUGGGUAGCCAAAGGUGAAGCAGAUAAUUGCUGAUCAAAGUCAAAAAAGCAGGGCAUUUCUCAUUUUUAUAGGAAUUUUGUAUAACAAUGGUAUCUCUAAUUAUAGCCCCAAUUGAACGUUCGAAAAAAAGUUCCUAUUUGUAAGCGAAGUAAAUUACACUACAUAAAAAAUGAUCAUUAGCGGUAAUUAAUUCUUAAUUGCCGCUAAAUAUGUAUUUUAGCGGCAAUUAGUCUUUGUAUAUGUCCCUAAAGCCUUUAGUGACAUUGGUUCUAAUGACACUUAACUAAUGCCGGUAAAGACUUUGACACUCUUUAUUAAUGUCAAUAUUUAUUGCCGCUAAAAGUUGUUUUUGUUGUAGUGUUAACCCAAGGUUAGGUAUACACCAAAUCCUAAUUAAGGAAAUUUUAAAAUCAGACAAGAAAAAACCUUUUCUUAUGUCAUUCGAUCUUCGUGGUUGAAAAAUAGAAAAAGAUAAUAAGACAUGCAGUUUCAUACAUGUAUCUCCCCAUGUAUAACAAAAACAUAGAAAAUGCUGCCAACUAUUUAGAUAUCCUAUCUAAAAGAUUCUCAAUAUAAAUAGGAAGACGUUUUAAAUACCACGCAUGACUUGAGCACCAUGUCUUGCACAAUAUCAGAAUGUCAAUGGUGUGAUUUUGCAUAGUUAAAAAAAUAACUAUUCUGCCAGAUGUUUUGGAAUCAUAUCUGAUAUGGUCAACAACAACCAUAGCUUUCAUUGGUUUUUCCUCAAUAAAUUCAGUUUCUUUCAAGCAAAAAUAGUAGUAAUCAAGAAGAAGCAUUCUUUCUUUUGAGAAUUCAAAUCUAUGGCAGAGAAGGAAGGAGCAAUUGUCAAGAAGGGGCAUGAGGAAGGUUUCAAAAUGAUGAUUUCCCUACUCGAAGAAUUCAAACUCCCACUGGGGAUCUUCCCUGUUGUUGAUGUGAUCGAAGUGGGGUUUGUGAAGAACACAGGCUACAUGUGGAUCCAGCAAGCAAAAAAAGUUGAGCACAAGUUCAAGAUGCUCCGCACACCGGCAAGUUAUGACACUGAAAUAAGUGGAUAUAUUGACAAGAAGAGAAUCAAGAAGCUCAAGGGACUGAAAGUUAACGGGCCGAUAGUGUCGCAUCCAGUUAAUGAGAUCAUUGUGGAUGAUCCUCCCACUGGUAAUAUUCAAUUUAAGGGGUUUGGUGGCAUCAGCAAAACUCUCCCACUUGAAUAUUUUGUUGCUGGCCAGUAAGGGAAAAAAUCAAUGCAUAUUUUCUGAUUCAUGACACUAAUUGUGUCUUGUAUCCAAUUGGUAUUAAUUAAGCAAAAUGAUCAAUUCAUUAUUAUUUGCAGUUUUUGUUUGGCAUAAAAAAUAAAAUGUUUUGUUUUCUGAUAGCAAUGUCCUGUUCUUUGAGAUACGCAUGUAUGUAUUCUUGAAAUUAAUGCAUGUUUCUUCUUCCUGAACUCUCUUCACAACGUGUUUAACGAUAUAAUUGUUAGCAACUCCAUUAAAACUAUAAUGGCUUGUGAUCGAUUUUACAUCAAAUACUCCAUCAAUAAAAAACAGUCUGCUUUCUUUCAAAUAUCAGUAAUUAGCAUUUGAAGUCAUUGUAGAAUUCAGAACCCAUAAGUUCAAAUCCUAGCACCACCUAUGUGCACAGAAUCUCGAAACAUAUAAACGGACACACUCAUGAUCGAUAGCAAAGAUUAUUAUACCAUUUAAGUGUGGUCACAUAUUAUCUUUUCUUUUCACAUUUUUAUUUGAGCAUAGGUUGUUAAUUUUUGGAGACAAACCUUGUGCUAUGAGGGCCACAAAAGUUUCAAGAAAAUAAUAAGGAGGAGAAUUGGGUCAUGAUAGAAAGCACACUGAAGUUGCGGCUUUGAUAGCUAGCUAGAGUGGGUCAUUUGUACUUUAAUUUCUACCCUAUUUUGUGUUUUGUCCGUCAGGACCAAAAACUUUUUUGUGGGACAUAAGUAUAUUUCACAUUAUAAUAUCUCACAAAAUAUGUCUCGUGUCCUUAAAGAACUUGUGUUCGGCUACCUAGACAUAAGUUCAAUUGCUUAAGACAAAAAAUAAAAACCAACUCAUACAAAAGAUAAAAAAUAAAGAUCAAAUCGGGACAAUGUGCAGUUAAAUGCGCUAGAGUCCACACAUCUAUUCAGUUCCUUUUUUUUUAAGCCAUCACCAGGGUUGUGAGCCCUUAGUGUGUGGGGUAGGCUUGACCCCGACCAUGUCUAUUCAUCCAAAAAGGUACAAAGUUAGAGGGGGACAUGGACCAAACCUCCAACAAGAAACCAACUACACAAAAAUUUCCGAAGAAAUAAAAAAAGGAUUAGCCUAUACAAUAUCUUUUCCUAUAAACCAAAAGUUUUUUAGCUAACAAAAAAGUUGUUUUCUCGUAUCUUCUUCGUAUGGACGGAUAUUGUCAUUUGUCCAGUUGAAUUGAGCCUUUAACCUCUCUAGGAAGUUGACGAUGAGAGGAGUAAAAGGUUUUGUUUCCACUAGAGGAUGCCAAUUUAGCAAGAAAGUUGGCUACUUGAUUUGCCUCUCGCAAACAGUGAGUAAUAUUCACGGAAGUUCUACUAUUGAAUUGACUUAUAUCACGAAUGAGCGUCUUCAGUUUCAUGUUGGUAAUGUUACUAUAUAGUUUGUAAUAACAAAUAAAUUCAUUCUAGUCUUGAUAAUACAACCAACCUUAGAUGGCCAUUAUCAUGAUAUCGAAUUUUAAAACAAUAGUCCCUUUUUUUAAAACUAGUUUCAGGGCAUGUGCGUUGCACGUGUGUCCCAAUUCUGCUAGUAUAUUGUUUUUAAAAGUAUAUUGGCUCUGCAACCAGCAGUAUCAGAAUCUCAAACCCUAGGUCGGCAGGCAGCAGUCAUGGCUGCUACGGUCACUGGACGGCCUCAUUUCGAGGCUGUCCAGCCCUCCCCACCACCCCAAACCACCACAUACGCCACCUUUUUCAAUUCCAAUACUAUAAAUCCUAAACAAUCUGCCCUAAUUAAACUCAAAAACGAUUAUAAAAUCAAUCGAAAUAAUUCAUGGAGAACCUACUAUCACGUUUUCAAUGGAGAAAGGCAAGACUUUAUGAUCGAAGAGGGAUUACAUCAAGCAAUGGUGUUUAAAUUAUCCCAUGGUGCGCCAAAUUUGAAUGUAUUAAGGUCAAUUUUUACCGAAACAUACUUGGUACCAAGGGCAAUUGUUUAAUUGGCUUACUUGCUCCAAGACAAAUUUUGUUGAGGUUUGAUCUAUAUGAAGAUUAUGUACUAGCUUUAUUUCGCUCAGUUAAUUAUCUUCUCUACAAUGGAGAGGAGCACAAAUGUACGGUUUUUCCAUGAUCCAUUGGAUCUAAUCCUAAGGAGGAAAUAAUGUUAGCUAUGGUUUGGAUUUCUUUACCGAACUUAUCUCCAGAUUUGUUUGCAAAGAAGUCUAUGUUGUCCAUAGCAUCAACAGUUGGGAAACCAAUAACUACAGAUAAAGCUAUUCAAACCGAGUCAAGACCUAGCACGGCUAGGGUCAAGGUUAUACUUGAUCUAAUGGAAAAGCUUCCAAAUCGUAUAAGGUUGCAGUUUGUGNNNNNNNNNNNNNNNNNNNNNNNNNNNNNNNNNNNNNNNNNNNNNNNNNNNNNNNNNNNNNNNNNNNNNNNNNNNNNNNNNNNNNNNNNNNNNNNNNNNNNNNNNNNNNNNNNNNNNNNNNNNNNNNNNNNNNNNNNNNNNNNNNNNNNNNNNNNNNNNNNNNNNNNNNNNNNNNNNNNNNNNNNNNNNNNNNNNNNNNNNNNNNNNNNNNNNNNNNNNNNNNNNNNNNNNNNNNNNNNNNNNNNNNNNNNNNNNNNNNNNNNNNNNNNNNNNNNNNNNNNNNNNNNNNNNNNNNNNNNNNNNNNNNNNNNNNNNNNNNNNNNNNNNNNNNNNNNNNNNNNNNNNNNNNNNNNNNNNNNNNNNNNNNNNNNNNNNNNNNNNNNNNNNNNNNNNNNNNNNNNNNNNNNNNNNNNNNNNNNNNNNNNNNNNNNNNNNNNNNNNNNNNNNNNNNNNNNNNNNNNNNNNNNNNNNNNNNNNNNNNNNNNNNNNNNNNNNNNNNNNNNNNNNNNNNNNNNNNNNNNNNNNNNNNNNNNNNNNNNNNNNNNNNNNNNNNNNNNNNNNNNNNNNNNNNNNNNNNNNNNNNNNNNNNNNNNNNNNNNNNNNNNNNNNNNNNNNNNNNNNNNNNNNNNNNNNNNNNNNNNNNNNNNNNNNNNNNNNNNNNNNNNNNNNNNNNNNNNNNNNNNNNNNNNNNNNNNNNNNNNNNNNNNNNNNNNNNNNNNNNNNNNNNNNNNNNNNNNNNNNNNNNNNNNNNNNNNNNNNNNNNNNNNNNNNNNNNNNNNNNNNNNNNNNNNNNNNNNNNNNNNNNNNNNNNNNNNNNNNNNNNNNNNNNNNNNNNNNNNNNNNNNNNNNNNNNNNNNNNNNNNNNNNNNNNNNNNNNNNNNNNNNNNNNNNNNNNNNNNNNNNNNNNNNNNNNNNNNNNNNNNNNNNNNNNNNNNNNNNNNNNNNNNNNNNNNNNNNNNNNNNNNNNNNNNNNNNNNNNNNNNNNNNNNNNNNNNNNNNNNNNNNNNNNNNNNNNNNNNNNNNNNNNNNNNNNNNNNNNNNNNNNNNNNNNNNNNNNNNNNNNNNNNNNNNNNNNNNNNNNNNNNNNNNNNNNNNNNNNNNNNNNNNNNNNNNNNNNNNNNNNNNNNNNNNNNNNNNNNNNNNNNNNNNNNNNNNNNNNNNNNNNNNNNNNNNNNNNNNNNNNNNNNNNNNNNNNNNNNNNNNNNNNNNNNNNNNNNNNNNNNNNNNNNNNNNNNNNNNNNNNNNNNNNNNNNNNNNNNNNNNNNNNNNNNNNNNNNNNNNNNNNNNNNNNNNNNNNNNNNNNNNNNNNNNNNNNNNNNNNNNNNNNNNNNNNNNNNNNNNNNNNNNNNNNNNNNGAGGCUGGUAACUCAACUUUCUUCUUGAUUGACAUAUUUUUACAUUAUUUAAGCAUCCUCAUUUGUAAUAUCAUCAUGGAGUGUAUUAUAAACUCUGUGAUGAUCAGAAAAUACUUAGUUUUCUCUAGCUUUUAUUUUCUUCAUGCUUGUUAGGUAGCAGAAGUUAGGUACUUCAUUAGGAAUGGUAAGGUAAUGCCUAGCCCCCCUUGCUUGUACUUGUCCCUAUUGAUAUUUUUUAUGUUUAAUAAAAGACCGCUAGACACUGUCAAAAAAAAAAAAAAGUAAUAUAAAUUUGAAGAAAGAAAGUACAAAUUGAAUAUGAAAAAUAAUUAAGCUACUUAAAUGACUUAAUUGUUCAAUACAAAAUAUUAAGGAUUGCCUAAACUUAGAAAAAACAAUUAAAUUUAGUUAUAUAGGUGCAAUGUGUAAUCAAAUAAUAAAUAUGUGGCUGUUUGUACAACUACAACAUGACAUGAUAAAAUAUAAGUUGUACCAAAAUUUUCAAAAUUAAUGUUCCUAAAAAUAGCACUAAAGAAUCUUACCCCAAAUUAAGCACAAAUACAAUACGUAUGCACAUUUUAAAGUGUAAGCAUAUAACUAACCCUUUUUUUAGUAAUACAAUUGUAGGAAUAAUUUUAUAAAGCUAGUAUCCUAAAUCAACAUUUUAAACCAUCAUAACAUACAAUUUAAAAGCAAUUAUUUAUAUAGAAGAAAAUAAAUAUCAACGUCAGUACCAUAUUCUUACUAUUCUAGGAGAAAAGGAUGAUAUUGUAUUCUUAUGUAAAUAUGUCAUAUUUCUAUGAUUAUUGUGAAGUUGGGAGUGUGAUGAAAUGGAGCAUAAUUAUCCAAUUUAUCACUCUUUUGUAAUGUUAUAUAAAAAUCCAUAUUAAAUGUGAGUCCUUAUAAUUCAUAAGAAUGUGAAUGGUCAAAUUUUCAUUUUUUUAAACAUAGGAGCAGAAAAGUCUGGCUGUAGAUGAUCCUCCCACUGGCAAGAUUCAAUUCAAGAGUCUGGCUGGCAUCACCAAAACAUUCCCAGUUGAAGCUUUUGCUGCUGGCCAGUAAUGGAAAUGGAAUAUAUAUUUUCUGAUUCAUGACACUCUUGUGUUUUCUAUAUUGUUUGCUUUCUUCAUAGAAAGAUAUGAUUUCUUGGAACUGUGGUUUCUCAGUUUUUAAGUAAGUACGUAGCUCAAUAAGAAACUUUGUUACCUGGUCUUCCUUUAUUAGGGGCCUUAGCUAAUGAUCUGGUAUAUAGAAAUUAUUGUAUACGUCUGUUGGUUCUAGAAAAUGAAAUGUCUAAUGUUUUUUCACCCAAAGAACUUGUUGGUUUGUUGCGAGUAGAAUGAAUGGGGUGCGCUUUGGAAAUCUAAAUAGUUGAGUUAUCGUGCUCAUAGUAACACUGGGUAGCCAAAGGUGAAGCAGAUAAUUGCUGAUCAAAGUCAAAAAAGCAGGGCAUUUCUCAUUUUUAUAGGAAUUUUGUAUAAAAACAAUGGUAUCUUUGAAAAAAAGUUCCUAUUUGUAAGCGAAGUAAAUUAAUUAACCCAAGGUCAGGUAUAGACCAAAUCCUAAUUAAGGAAAUUUUAAAAUCAGACAAGAAAAAACCUUUUCUUAUGUCAUUCGAUCUUUGUGGUUGAAAAAUAGAAAAAGAUAAUAAGACAUGUAGUUUCAUAUAUGUAUCUCUCCAUGUACAACAAAAACAUAGAAAAUGCUGCCAACUAUUUAGAUAUCCUAUCUAAAAGAUUCUCAAUAUAAAUAGGAAGACGUUUUAAAUACCACGCAUGACUUGAGCACCAUGUCUUGCACAAUAUCAGAAUGUCAAUGGUGUGAUUUUGCAUAGUUAAAAAAAUAACUAUUCUGCCAGAUGUUUUGGAAUCAUAUCUGAUAUGGUCAACAACAACCAUAGCUUUCAUUGGUUUUUCCUCAAUAAAUUCAGUUUCUUUCAAGCAAAAAUAGUAGUAAUCAAGAAGAAGCAUUCUUUCUUUUGAGAAUUCAAAUCUAUGGCAGAGAAGGAAGGAGCAAUUGUCAAGAAGGGGCAUGAGGAAGGUUUCAAAAUGAUGAUUUCCCUACUCGAAGAAUUCAAACUCCCACUGGGGAUCUUCCCUGUUGUUGAUGUGAUCGAAGUGGGGUUUGUGAAGAACACAGGCUACAUGUGGAUCCAGCAAGCAAAAAAAGUUGAGCACAAGUUCAAGAUGCUCCGCACACCGGCAAGUUAUGACACUGAAAUAAGUGGAUAUAUUGACAAGAAGAGAAUCAAGAAGCUCAAGGGACUGAAAGUUAACGGGCCGAUAGUGUCGCCUCCAGUUAAUGAGAUCAUUGUGGAUGAUCCUCCCACUGGUAAUAUUCAAUUUAAGGGGUUUGGUGGCAUCAGCAAAACUCUCCCACUUGAAUAUUUUGUUGCUGGCCAGUAAGGGAAAAAAUCAAUGCAUAUUUUCUGAUUCAUGACACUAAUUGUGUCUUGUAUCCAAUUGGUAUUAAUUAAGCAAAAUGAUCAAUUCAUUAUUAUUUGCAGUUUUUGUUUGGCAUAAAAAAUAAAAUGUUUUGUUUUCUGAUAGCAAUGUCCUGUUCUUUGAGAUACACAUGUAUGUAUUGUUGAAGUUAAUGCAUGUUUCUUCUUCCUGAACUCUCUUCACAACGUGUUUAACGAUAUAAUUGUUAGCAACUCCAUUAAAACUAUAAUGGCUUGUGAUCGAUUUUACAUCAAAUACUCCAUCAAUAAAAAACAGUCUGCUUUCUUUCAAAUAUCAGUAAUUAGCAUUUGAAGUCAUUGUAGAAUUCAGAACCCAUAAGUUCAAAUCCUGGCACCACCUAUGUGCACAGAAUCUCGAAACAUAUAAACGGACACACUCAUGAUCGAUAGCAAAGAUUAUUAUACCAUUUAAGUGUGGUCACAUAUUAUCUUUUCUUUUCACAUUUUUAUUUGAGCAUAGGUUGUUAAUUUUUGGAGACAAACCUUGUGCUAUGAGGGCCACAAAAGUUUCAAGAAAAUAAUAAGGAGGAGAAUUGGGUCAUGAUAGGAAAGCACACUGAAGUUGCGGUGCGGCUUUGAUACACUGAAGGUCAGGUAUAGACCAAAUCCUAAUUAUGGAAAUUUUAAAAUGAGACAAGAAAAAACCUUUUCUUAAGUCAUUCGAUCUUCGUGGUUGAAAAAUAGAAAAAGAUAAUCAGACAUGCAAUUUCAUAUAUGUUGUAGACAAUAAAAUUCGCGCCGAGAAAACAAUAAUCAAGAAUGGAAAAUUAUAGCAACAAUUGUUUUAUUAUUUCAAGCGUGAGUGUUACAAUCUCUAUAAUUCCUCUGAAUUCGCCUUUUCAAAUAUAAUUCAAGGACUCUUGAGCUUGAUCUUGGCUUGGGAUAUAUCUCGAUCUUGAUCUCUAUCUUGAUCUAGAUCUUGAACUUGAACUUGGACUUGGACUUGGACUUGAUCUUGAGUUUUAUCUUGAUCUUGAACUUGAACUUUAUCUUGAUCUUGACUUCUAGUUGAAUUCAAGGGCUUCGAGCUUGAUAUUGAAUCCGACUGUCUUGAUCUUGAUUGUUCUUGAAACUUGAACAUUCUUGAAACUUGAAUGCUUGAAUUCUUGAACUCUUGAACCUGUAGAGAAAUCUACGGCUUUUGAUCUGCGAGCUUUCUCUAGCUUCUUGUUAAAAUUCUUGGUUCCUUUUAUGAAUUAUGAGGACCCCUAUUUAUAGUUUUAAAAUAGAGGAGUUGUGAUUGGAAGAGGAUAUAUUCCCUUUGGCCAAUCAGAUUUAAGUGACAUGACAUACGGGAUUUAAUUAAAUCAAUAUUUAUUAGAUUUAAAUAAUUAACUCAAUUAUAUUAAUCCAUAAAAUUUAUUUGGACUAAUAUAUUCAUAGAUUAAAUAUAAUUCGAAUCAUUUUAUAAAUUUAUAUUUAAUAAAUUUUAAAUGAUUACAAAUUCCCCUUUCUUCAAGUCUUGUCGAGAUAUUUUAUCUUUCAAAGACUAGGCUUGUAGAAUUUGAAGACUUGAACUUGCAGACUUGAAGAAUUUGAAGACUUCAACUUGCAGACUUGACAAAUUUUGAAUACUUUAACUUGUAGAAAUAGAAGAUUUUAAUACUUCAACUUGUAUACUUGGAGAAUUUGAAGACUUUAACUUGCAUACUAGGAGAUUUUUGAAAACUUCAUCUUGAAACAACUUUUAUUCAUAGGGGUUUUCCCCCAUUGAGUCACCACCAUUUGGUGCAAGUCUGAAGUUUUAUGAAAGAUUACUCAUAGCUUUAACUUUCAUGUGACAAUUCAAAGGGGAACAUGUGGUUUUUUGACACUCAUGUAACUAAACUUAGAAUAUGAUUCUAAGGGCCUACGUACCUCAGUGAAGAGGAUCAAGUCACAACGUAGUUUUGGGAGAGUUUUAUUUUUGGGUGUGUCGUACACAGUUUAUACUCUUGCGGGCCAAGAGUGACAUGCAGUUUAGGCUCAUACCUUAAGGAGAAUUUCCACUUGAAUAGUUAACUCUAAUUUGAAGAGCUUUAUGACAUACAGUUUAAGCUCGUGUUUCAAGGAGCAUUUCAGCUUGAAGAUUUAACUCAAAUUUGAAGAGCUUCGUGAUAUACAAUUUAGGCUCGUGUGUCUAGCAACAUUAUAACCUGCAGUUUAGGCUCAUGCGGUGAGGAGCAUUGUAACUUGCAGUUUAAGCUCAUGUGUUAAGGAGCGUUGAAAUUUGCAGUUUAAGCUCAUGCGUUAAGGAGCGUCUAGAUAUACGUUGACGUUUCAAAGUCAUCUUCGAAUGCAGACUUGCCCCCACUUUGGAGUUCUUAUAUAUCUUCAUGAGGUCCAUGGAAAGAAGAUUAUUGAUUUUCUCUCAAAGUCAUGCUUAAUUCUAUAUCACGUGCACGAGUUACCAACUCUUCGAACGUAUUGGGCUUUAAUCCUUGCAAAAUGUAGCGAAAACCCCAAUUCAUGCCUUGGAUGCACAUUUCAAUGCUAGAAGUUUCACUAAGGCGAUCUUUGCAAUUGAGGUUCAGACUUCUCCAGCGAUUGAUAAAAGUCAACAACUAGCUCAUCUUCACCUUGAUGAGCCUUUGUAAGUUCAAUCAUACUAAUGACACGUCUCGUGCUAUAGAAUCGAUUAAGAAACUCUUGCUCAAACCGGUCCCAACAAUCUAUAUAAUUAGGUUCGAGUCGGUGUACCAAUUAAAAGGUAUUUUCUUUGAGAGAUCGAACGAACUCUUUAACGAGAUAAUCACCAUAUGUCCCAGCAUCAUUGCAAGUCUCGAUAUAGUGCGCUAUAUGUUAUUUAGUAUUUCCUUUGCCAUCAAAUUAGUGAAGCUUAGGAGAUUGAUAACCCUCAAGCAUUUUCAAGUUAUCAAUCCUUUGUGUAUAUGGCUUUGCAUAUAUGGGAGAAAAUUUGGAUGAAGACUAAGAUUUGUGUUCGACAACCUCUAUGAUAAAGCCUUUCAAUUGAUCAAUUGGAAUCAAAUCUUCAGCUGAGAUAUGAAUUUCUUUGAUCUUUGUUUGAUUUACGCAAGACUCUCCUUCGUCUUGAAUUUUAAGAAGCUUCCGAGGUGCUCGACUUGAUCUUCUUUCAAUCAUGUUAUCCAUCUUAUUUGUUAACUUCAAAAGUUUAGCAUCUUGUUCGUAUGCACACUUUGUCAAGCCUUCAAUCACUUUUGUCAAGCUUGCUAGUUAUUCUUCUAUAGUGGAAGUCAUUUUGAUAUUCUUUGAUACUUGGAAAGUUGAGAUGAGAGGUAGAGAUUGUCCUACUGGGCAUGCCAAAAUUUGUAGACAAUAAAAUUUGCGUCGAGAAAACAAUAAUCAAGACCGGAAAAUUAUAGCAAUAAUUGUUGUAUUAUUUCAAGUGCAAGUGUUACAAUCUCUAUAAUUCCUCUGAUUUCUCCUUUUCAAAUAUAAUUCAAGGGCUCUUGAGCAUGAUCUCUCUCUUGGGAUUUAUCUCGAUCUUGAUCUCUCUCUUGAUCUUGAUCUUGAGCUUGGACUUGGACUUGGACUUGAUCUUGAUUCAAAUAUUUGUGAAACAUAUCGAUUAUAUCUAUGAAACUAUAUUUGUUAUUUACAAAUUAUGAAAAUCGACUAAGAUCACCUUUUAUGACUUUGAAAGUUUUUUUUUUCUUUUUUUUUUUUAAUUUUAUAAAACUAAUUAUCCUAAAUCGUUUGGAAAUUAAGAAGCUCGAAAAUUAAUUAUUAUCGGGGAGGGUCAAAAUUGGGUGUCAACAAUAUAAUUGUUAGCAACUCCAUUAAAACUAUAAUGGCUUGUGAUCGAUUUUACAUCAAAUACUCCAUCAAUAAAAACAGUCUGCUUUCUUUCAAAUAUCAGUUAUUAGCAUUUGAAGUCAUUGUAGAAUUCAGAACCCAUAAGUUCAAAUCCUGGCACCACCUAUGUGCACAGAAUCUCGAAACAUAUAAACGGACACACUCAUGAUCGAUAGCAAAGAUUAUUAUACCAUUUAAAUGUGGUCACAUAUUAUCUUGUCUUUUCACAUUUUUAUUUGAGCAUAGGUUGUUAAUUUUUGGAGACAAACCUUGUGCUAUGAGGGCCACAAAAGUUUCAAGAAAAUAAUAAGGAGGAGAAUUGGGUCAUGAUAGGAAAGCACACUGAAGUUGCGGUGCGGCUUUGAUACACUGAAGGUCAGGUAUAGACCAAAUCCUAAUUAUGGAAAUUUUAAAAUGAGACAAGAAAAAACCUUUUCUUAAGUCAUUCGAUCUUCGUGGUUGAAAAAUAGAAAAAGAUAAUCAGACAUGCAAUUUCAUAUAUGUUGUAGACAAUAAAAUUCGCGCCGAGAAAACAAUAAUCAAGAAUGGAAAAUUAUAGCAACAAUUGUUUUAUUAUUUCAAGCGUGAGUGUUACAAUCUCUAUAAUUCCUCUGAAUUCGCCUUUUCAAAUAUAAUUCAAGGACUCUUGAGCUUGAUCUUGGCUUGGGAUAUAUCUCGAUCUUGAUCUCUAUCUUGAUCUAGAUCUUGAACUUGAACUUGGACUUGGACUUGGACUUGAUCUUGAGUUUUAUCUUGAUCUUGAACUUGAACUUUAUCUUGAUCUUGACUUCUAGUUGAAUUCAAGGGCUUCGAGCUUGAUAUUGAAUCCGACUGUCUUGAUCUUGAUUGUUCUUGAAACUUGAACAUUCUUGAAACUUGAAUGCUUGAAUUCUUGAACUCUUGAACCUGUAGAGAAAUCUACGGCUUUUGAUCUGCGAGCUUUCUCUAGCUUCUUGUUAAAAUUCUUGGUUCCUUUUAUGAAUUAUGAGGACCCCUAUUUAUAGUUUUAAAAUAGAGGAGUUGUGAUUGGAAGAGGAUAUAUUCCCUUUGGCCAAUCAGAUUUAAGUGACAUGACAUACGGGAUUUAAUUAAAUCAAUAUUUAUUAGAUUUAAAUAAUUAACUCAAUUAUAUUAAUCCAUAAAAUUUAUUUGGACUAAUAUAUUCAUAGAUUAAAUAUAAUUCGAAUCAUUUUAUAAAUUUAUAUUUAAUAAAUUUUAAAUGAUUACAAAUUCCCCUUUCUUCAAGUCUUGUCGAGAUAUUUUAUCUUUCAAAGACUAGGCUUGUAGAAUUUGAAGACUUGAACUUGCAGACUUGAAGAAUUUGAAGACUUCAACUUGCAGACUUGACAAAUUUUGAAUACUUUAACUUGUAGAAAUAGAAGAUUUUAAUACUUCAACUUGUAUACUUGGAGAAUUUGAAGACUUUAACUUGCAUACUAGGAGAUUUUUGAAAACUUCAUCUUGAAACAACUUUUAUUCAUAGGGGUUUUCCCCCAUUGAGUCACCACCAUUUGGUGCAAGUCUGAAGUUUUAUGAAAGAUUACUCAUAGCUUUAACUUUCAUGUGACAAUUCAAAGGGGAACAUGUGGUUUUUUGACACUCAUGUAACUAAACUUAGAAUAUGAUUCUAAGGGCCUACGUACCUCAGUGAAGAGGAUCAAGUCACAACGUAGUUUUGGGAGAGUUUUAUUUUUGGGUGUGUCGUACACAGUUUAUACUCUUGCGGGCCAAGAGUGACAUGCAGUUUAGGCUCAUACCUUAAGGAGAAUUUCCACUUGAAUAGUUAACUCUAAUUUGAAGAGCUUUAUGACAUACAGUUUAAGCUCGUGUUUCAAGGAGUAUUUCAACUUAAAGAUUUAACUCAAACUUGAGGAGUUUUAUGACAUAUAGUUUAAGCUCAUAUUUCGAGGAGCAUUUCAACUUGAAGAUUUAAGUGACAUACAGUUUAAGCUCGUGUUUCAAGGAGCAUUUCAGCUUGAAGAUUUAACUCAAAUUUGAAGAGCUUCGUGAUAUACAAUUUAGGCUCGUGUGUCUAGCAACAUUAUAACCUGCAGUUUAGGCUCAUGCGGUGAGGAGCAUUGUAACUUGCAGUUUAAGCUCAUGUGUUAAGGAGCGUUGAAAUUUGCAGUUUAAGCUCAUGCGUUAAGGAGCGUCUAGAUAUACGUUGACGUUUCAAAGUCAUCUUCGAAUGCAGACUUGCCCCCACUUUGGAGUUCUUAUAUAUCUUCAUGAGGUCCAUGGAAAGAAGAUUAUUGAUUUUCUCUCAAAGUCAUGCUUAAUUCUAUAUCACGUGCACGAGUUACCAACUCUUCGAACGUAUUGGGCUUUAAUCCUUGCAAAAUGUAGCGAAAACCCCAAUUCAUGCCUUGGAUGCACAUUUCAAUGCUAGAAGUUUCACUAAGGCGAUCUUUGCAAUUGAGGUUCAGACUUCUCCAGCGAUUGAUAAAAGUCAACAACUAGCUCAUCUUCACCUUGAUGAGCCUUUGUAAGUUCAAUCAUACUAAUGACACGUCUCGUGCUAUAGAAUCGAUUAAGAAACUCUUGCUCAAACCGGUCCCAACAAUCUAUAUAAUUAGGUUCGAGUCGGUGUACCAAUUAAAAGGUAUUUUCUUUGAGAGAUCGAACGAACUCUUUAACGAGAUAAUCACCAUAUGUCCCAGCAUCAUUGCAAGUCUCGAUAUAGUGCGCUAUAUGUUAUUUAGUAUUUCCUUUGCCAUCAAAUUAGUGAAGCUUAGGAGAUUGAUAACCCUCAAGCAUUUUCAAGUUAUCAAUCCUUUGUGUAUAUGGCUUUGCAUAUAUGGGAGAAAAUUUGGAUGAAGACUAAGAUUUGUGUUCGACAACCUCUAUGAUAAAGCCUUUCAAUUGAUCAAUUGGAAUCAAAUCUUCAGCUGAGAUAUGAAUUUCUUUGAUCUUUGUUUGAUUUACGCAAGACUCUCCUUCGUCUUGAAUUUUAAGAAGCUUCCGAGGUGCUCGACUUGAUCUUCUUUCAAUCAUGUUAUCCAUCUUAUUUGUUAACUUCAAAAGUUUAGCAUCUUGUUCGUAUGCACACUUUGUCAAGCCUUCAAUCACUUUUGUCAAGCUUGCUAGUUAUUCUUCUAUAGUGGAAGUCAUUUUGAUAUUCUUUGAUACUUGGAAAGUUGAGAUGAGAGGUAGAGAUUGUCCUACUGGGCAUGCCAAAAUUUGUAGACAAUAAAAUUUGCGUCGAGAAAACAAUAAUCAAGACCGGAAAAUUAUAGCAAUAAUUGUUGUAUUAUUUCAAGUGCAAGUGUUACAAUCUCUAUAAUUCCUCUGAUUUCUCCUUUUCAAAUAUAAUUCAAGGGCUCUUGAGCAUGAUCUCUCUCUUGGGAUUUAUCUCGAUCUUGAUCUCUCUCUUGAUCUUGAUCUUGAGCUUGGACUUGGACUUGGACUUGAUCUUGAACUUUAUCUUGAUCUUGAACUUGAAAUUUAUCUUGAUUUUGACUUCUAGUUGAAUCCAAGGGCUUCGAGCUUGAUUUUGAAUCUGACAGUCUUGAUCUUGAUCGUUCUUGAAACUUGAACGUUCUUGAAACUUGAAUGCUUGAAUUUGCAGAGAAAUCUGCGGCUUUUGAUCCACGAGCUUUCUCUAGCUUCUUGUUAAAAUUCUUGGUUCCUUUUAUGAAUUAUAAGGACCCCUAUUUAUAGUUUUAAAAUAAAAGAGUUGUGAUUGAAAGAGGAUAUAUUCCCUUUGGCCAAUCAAAUUUAAGUGACAUGACAUACAUGAUUUAAUUAAAUCUAUAUUUAUUAGAUUUAAAUAAUUAACUAAAUUAUAUUAAUCCAUAGUAUUUAUUUGGACUAAUAUAUUCAUAAAUUAAAUAUAAUUCGAAUCAAUUUAUAAAUUUAUAUUUAAUAAAUUUUAAAUGACUACAAAUUCCCCAUUCUUCAAGUCUUGCCAAGAUAUUAUAUCUUUCAAAGACUAGGUUUGAAGAAUUUGAAGAUUUGAACUUCCAGACUUGAAGAAUUUGAAGACUUCAACUUGCAGACUUGACAAAUUUUGAUUACUUUAACUUGUAGAAUUGGAAGAUUUUAAUACUUCAACUUGUAUACCUGGAAAAUUUGAAGACUUCAACUUGCAUGCUUGGAGAUUUUUGGAAACUUUAUCUUGAAACAACUUUUAUUCAUAAGGAUUUUCCCCCAUUGAGUCACCACCAUUUGGUGCAAGUCUAAAGUUUUAUGAAAGAUUACUAAUAGCUUUAACUUUCAUGUGACAGAUCAAGGGGGAACAUGUGGUUUUUUGACACUCAUGCAACUGAACUUAGAAGAUGAUUCUAAGGGACUACGUACCUCAGUGAAGAGGAUCAAGUCACAACGUAGUUCUGGGAGAGAUUUUUUUAGGUGUGUCGUACACAGUUUAUACUCUUGCGGGCCAAGAGUGACAUGCAGUUUAGGCUCAUACCUUAAAGAAAAUUUCCACUUGAAUAUUUAACUCUAAUUUGAAGUGCUUUAUGACAUACAGUUUAAGCUCGUGUUUCAAGGAGUAUUUCAACUUAAAGAUUUAACUCAAAUUUGAGGAGUUUUAUGACAUAUAGUUUAAACUCUUGUUUCAAGGAGCAUUUCAACUUGAGGAUUUAACUCAAACUUGAAGAUUUAAGUGACAUACAGUUUAAGCUCGUGUUUCAAGGAACAUUUCAUCUUGAAGAUUUAACUCAAAUUUGAAGAGCUUCGUGAUAUACAGCUUAGGCUUGUGUAUCUAGCAACAUUAUAACUUGUAGUUUAGGGUCAUGCGAUAAUGAGCAUUGUAACUUGCAGUUUAAGCUCAUGUGUUAAGGAACGUUGAAACUUGCAGUUUAAGCUCAUGCGUUAAGGAGCGUCUAGAUAUACAUUGACUUUUCAAAGUCAUUUUCGGAUGCAGACUUCCCCCCACUUUGGAGUUCUUCUAUCUUCAUCUUCAUGAGGUCCAUAGACAGGAGAUCAUUGAUCUUCCCUCAAAGUCAUGCUUAAUUCUAUAUCAUGUGCACGAGUUGCCAACCCUUCGAAUGUAUUGGGCUUUAAUCCUUGCAAAAUGUAGCGAAGACCCCAAUUUAUGCCUUGGAUGCACAUUUCAAUGCUAAAAGUUUCACUAAGGCGAUCUUUGCAAUUGAGGUUCAGACUUCUCCAGCGAUUGAUAAAGUCAACAACUAGCUCAUCUUCACCUUGACGAGCCUUUGUAAGUUCAAUGAUACUAACGACACGUCUUGUGCUAUAGAAUCGAUUAAGAAACUCUUGCUCUAACCGGUCCCAAUAAUCUAUAGAAUUAGGUUCAAGAUCUGUGUACCAAUCAAAGGCAUUUUCUCUGAGAGAUUGAACGAACUCUUUAACGAGAUAAUCACCAUAUGUUCCAGCAUCAUUGGAAGUCUCGAUAAAAUGCGCUAUAUAUUAUUUGGGAUUUUCUUUGCCAUCAAAUUGGUGAAGCUUAGGAGGUUGAUAACCCUCGGACAUUUUAAUGUUAUCAAUCCUGUGUGUAUAUGGCUUUGCAUAUAUGGGAGAAAAUUUGGAUGAAGUCUCAGAUUUGUCUUCAAUAGCCUUUAUGAUAAAGUCUUUCAAUUGAUCAAUUGGAAUCAAACCUUCUACGGAGAUAUGAAUUUCUUUUAUCUUUGUUUGCUUUACACAAGACUCUCCUUUGUCUGCAAUUUUAAGAAGCUUCAAAGGUGCUUGAUUCGAUCUUCUUUCAAUCAUGUUAUCCAUCUUAUUUGUUAACUUCAAAAGUUUAGCAUCUUGUUUGUGUGCACACUUUGUCAAGCCUUCAAUCACUUUUGUCAAGCUUUCUAGUUGUUCUUCUAUAGUGGAAGUCAUUUUGAUAUUCUUUUAUACUUGAAAAGUUGAGAUGAGGGGUAGAGAUUGUCCCACUGGGAGUGCUAGAAUUUGUAGACAAUAAAAUUCGCGUUAGGAAAACAAUAAUCAAGAUUAAAAAAUUAUAGCAAUAAUUAUUUUAUUAUUUCAAGUGCGAGUGUUACAAUCUCUAUAAUUACGAUGAAUUCACCUUUUCAAAUAUAAUUCAAGGGCUCUUGAGCUUGAUCUUGAACUUGAGAUUUAUCUCAAUCUUGAUCUUGAACUUGAACUUGGACUUGGACAUGAUCUUGAACUUUAUCUUGAUCUUGAACUUGAACUUUAUCUUGAUCUUAACUUCUAGUUGAAUCCAAGGGCUUCGAGCUUGAUCUUGAAUCCGGCGGUCUUGAUCUUGAUUUUGUGUGCACACUUUGUCAAGCCUUCAAUCACUUUUGUCAAGCUUUCUAGUUGUUCUUCUAUAGUGGAAGUCAUUUUGAUAUUCUUUUAUACUUGAAAAGUUGAGAUGAGGGGUAGAGAUUGUCCCACUGGGAGUGCUAGAAUUUGUAGACAAUAAAAUUCGCGUUAGGAAAACAAUAAUCAAGAUUAAAAAAUUAUAGCAAUAAUUAUUUUAUUAUUUCAAGUGCGAGUGUUACAAUCUCUAUAAUUACGAUGAAUUCACCUUUUCAAAUAUAAUUCAAGGGCUCUUGAGCUUGAUCUUGAACUUGAGAUUUAUCUCAAUCUUGAUCUUGAACUUGAACUUGGACUUGGACAUGAUCUUGAACUUUAUCUUGAUCUUGAACUUGAACUUUAUCUUGAUCUUCACUUCUAGUUGAAUCCAAAGGCUUCUAGCUUGAUCUUGAAUCCGGCGAUCUUGAUCUUGAUCGUUCUUAGAGCUUGAAUGCUUAAAUUUUGAACUGUUAAACUUGUAGAGAAAUCUGCCGCUUUUGAUCUGCGAGUUUUCUCUAUCUUCUUGUUAAAAUUCUUGGUUCCUUUUAUGAAUUAUGAGGACCCCUAUUUAUAGUUUUAAAAUAGAGAAGUUGUGAUUAGAAGAGGAUUUUCUUCGACCAAUCAGAUUUAAGUGACAUGACAUAUGAGCUUUAUUGAGCGGGCUUUAAUUAAAUCUAUAUGUAUUAGAUUUAAAUAAUUAACUCAAUUAUAUUAAUCCAUAAUAUUUAUUUGGACUAAUAUAUUCAUAAAUUUGAUAUAAUUCGAAUCAUUUUAUAAAUCUAUAUUUAAUAAAUUUUAAAUGACUACAAAUGCCCCCUUUUUCAAGUCUUGUCGAGAUUUUUUAUCUUUCAAAGACUAGGCAUGAAGAAUUUGAAGAUUUGAACUUGCAGACUUGAAGAAUUUGAAGACUUCAACUUGCAGACUUGACAAAUUUUGAAUACUUUAAGUUGUAGAAUUGGAAGAUUUUAAUACUUCAACUUAUAUACUUGGAGAAUUUGAAGACUUCAACUUGCAUACUUGGAGAUUUUUGAAAACUUCAUCUUGAAACAACUUUUAUUCAUAGGGGUUUUCCCCCAUUGAGUCAUCACUAUUUGGUGCAAGUCUGAAGUUUUAUGAAAGAUUACUCAUAGCUUUAACUUUUAUAUGACAGAUCAAGGGGGAACAUGUGGUUUUUUGACACUCAUGCAACUGAACUUAGAAUAUGAUUCUAAGGGACUACGUACCUCAGUGAAGAGUAUCAAGUCAUAACGUAGUUUUCGGAGAGUUUUUUUUUGGGUGUGUCGUACACAGUUUAUACUCUUUCGGGCAAAGAGUGGCAUGCAAUUUAGGCUCAUACCUUAAGGAACAUUUCCACUUGAAUAAUUAACUCUAAUUUAAGAGCUUUAUCAUAUACAGUUUAAGCUCGUGUUUCAAGGAGUAUUUCAACUUAAAGAUUUAACUCAAAUUUGAGGAGCUUUAUGACAUAUAGUUUAAGCUCCUGUUUCAAGAAGCAUUUCAACUUGAAGAUUUAACUCAAACUUGAAGAUUUAAGUGACAUACAGUUUAAGCUCGUGUUUCAAGGAGCAUUUCAACUAGAAGAUUUAACUCAAAUUUAAAGAGCUUCGUGAUAUACAGUUUAGGCUUGUGUGUCUAGCAACAUUAUAACUUGUAGUUUAGGCUCAUGCGAUGAGGAGCAUUGUAACUUGCAGUUUAAGCUCAUGUGUUAAGGAACGUUGAAACUUGCAGUUUAAGUUUAUGCGUUAAGGAGUGCAUAGAUAUACAUUGACUUUUCAAAGUCAUUUUCGGAUGCAGACUUUCCCCCACUUUGGAGUUCUUCUAUAUCUUCAUCUUCAUGAGGUCCAUAGACAGGAGAUCGUUGAUCUUCCCUCAAAGUCAUGCUUAAUUCUAUAUCAUGUGCAUGAUUUGCCAACCCUUCGAAUGUAUUGGGCUUUAAUCCUUGCAAAAUGUAGAGAAGACCCCAAUUCAUGCCUUGGAUGCAUAUUUCAAUGCUAGAAGUUUCACUAAGGCGAUCUUUGCAAUUGAGGUUCAGACUUCUCCAGCGAUUGAUAAAGUCAACAACUAGCUCAUCUUCACCUUGACGAGCCUUUGUAAGUUCAAUCAUACUAACGACACGACUUGUGCUAUAGAAUCGAUUAAGAAACUCUUGCUCUAACCGGUCCCAACAAUCUAUAGAAUUAGGUUCAAGAUUUGUGUACCAAUCAAAGCAUUUUCUCUGAGAGAUCGAACGAACUCUUUAACGAGAUAAUCACCAUAUGUUCCAGCAUCAUUAUAAGUCUCGAUAAAUUGCGCUAUAUAUUGUUUGGGAUUUCCUUUGCCAUCAAAUUGGUGAAGCUUAGGAGGUUGAUAACCUUCAGGCAUUUUAAAGUUAUCAAUCCUGUGUGUAUAUGGCCUUGCAUAUAUGGUAGAAAAUUUUGAUGAAGACUCAGAUUUGUCUUCGAUAGCCUCUAUGAUAAAGUCUUUCAAUUGAUCAAUUGGAAUCAAACCUUCAACUGAGAUAUGAAUUUCUUUGAUCUUUGUUUUCUUUACGCAAGACUCUCCUUCGUCUUGAAUUUUAAGAAUCUUCAAAGGUGUUUGACUCAAUCUUCUUUCAAUCAUGUUAUCCAUUUUAUUUGUUAACUUCAAAAGUUUAGCAUCUUGUUCGUGUGCACACUUUGUCAAGCCUUCAGUCACUUUUGUCAAGCUUGCUAGUUGUUCUUCUAUAGUGGAAGUCAUUUUGAUAUUCUUUGAUACUUGGAAAGUUGAGAUGAGAGGUAGAGAUUGUCCUACUGGGAGUGCCAGAAUUGGUUGACAAUAAAAUUCGCGUAGGGAAAACAAUAAUCAAGACUGGAAAAUUAUAGCAAUAAUUGUUGUAUUAUUUCAAGUGCGAGUGUUACAAUCUCUAUAAUUCCUCUGAAUUUGCCUUUUCAAAUAUAAUUCAAGGGCUCUUGAGCUUGAUCUUGAACUUGGGAUUUAUCUCGAUCUUGAUCUCUAUCUAGAUUUUGAUCUUGAACUUGAACUUGGACUUGGACUUGAUCUUGGACUUUAUCUUGAUCUUGACUUCUAGUUGAAUCCAAGGGCUUCGAGCUUGAUCUUGAAUCCAGCGGUCUUGAUCUUGAUCGUUCUUGAAACUUGAAUGCUUGAAUUCUUGAACUCUUGAACUUGUAGAGAAAUCUGCGGCUUUUGAUCUGCGAGCUUUCUCUAGCUUCUUGUUAAAAUUCUUGGUUCCUUUUAUGAAUUAUGAGGACCCCUGUUUAUAGUUUUAAAAUAGAGGAGUUGUGAUUGGAAGAGGAUUCCUUUCGGCCAAUCAGAUUUAAGUGACAUGACAUAUGGGUUUUAUGAAGCGGACUUUAAUUAAAUCUAUAUUUAUUAAAUUUAAAUAAUUAACUCAAUUAUAUUAAUCUAUAAUAUUUAUUUGGACUGAUAUAUUCAUAAAUUUAAUAUAAUUCGAAUCAUUUUAUAAAUUUAUAUUUAAUAAAUUUUAAAUGACCACACGUGUAUCUCCCCAUGUAUAACAAAAACAUAGAAAAUGCUGCCAACUAUUUAGAUUUUCUAGCUAAAAGAUUCUCAAUAUAAAUAGGAAGACAUUUUAAAUACCACGCAAGAAUCAAAAGAGUUUGAAAAAGUAUUUUCUGAUUUAUAAUUUGAUAAACUAGAGAAUAUUUGCCUAUAAUUGCAAGCAUGACUUGAGCACCAUGUCUUGCACAAUAUCAGAAUGUCAAUGGUGUGAUUUUGCAUAGUUAAAAAUAUAACUAUUCUGCCAGAUGUUUUGGAAUCAUAUCUGAUAUGGUCAACAACAACCAUAAAUUUCAUUGGUUUUUCCUCAAUAAAUUCAGUUGAGAAGCAAAAAUAGUAGUAAUCAAGAAGAAGCAUUCUUUCUUUCGAGAAUUCAAAGCUAUGGCAGAGAAGGAAGGAGCAAUUGUCAAGAAGGGGCAUGAGGAAGGUUUCAAAAUGAUGAUUUCCCUACUCGAAGAAUUCAAACUCCCACUGGGGAUCUUCCCUGUUGUUGAUGUGAUCGAAGUGGGGUUUGUGAAGAACACAGGCUACAUGUGGAUCCAGCAAGCAAAAAAAGUUGACCACAAGUUCAAGAUGCUCCCCAAACCGGCAAGUUAUGACACUGAAAUAAGUGGAUAUGUUGACAAGAAGAGAAUCAAGAAGCUCAAGGGACUGAAAGUUAACGGGCCGAUAGUGUCGCAUCCAGUUAAUGAGAUCAUUGUGGAUGAUCCUCCCACUGGUAAUAUUCAAUUUAAGGGGUUUGGUGGCAUCAGCAAAACUCUCCCACUUGAAUAUUUUGUUGCUGGCCAGUAAGGGAAAAAAUCAAUGCAUAUUUUCUGAUUCAUGACACUAAUUGUGUCUUGUAUCCAAUUGGUAUUAAUUAAGCAAAAUGAUCAAUUCAUUAUUAUUUGCAGUUUUUGUUUGGCAUAAAAAAUAAAAUGUUUUGUUUUCUGAUAGCAAUGUCCUGUUCUUUGAGAUACGCAUGUAUGUAUUCUUGAAAUUAAUGCAUGUUUCUUCUUCCUGAACUCUCUUCACAACGUGUUUAACGAUAUAAUUUUUAGCAAUUCCAUUUAAACUAUAAUGGCUUGUGUUUAACGAUAUAAUUGUUAGCAACUCCAUUAAAACUAUAAUGGCUUGUGAUCGAUUUUACAUCAAAUACUCCAUCAAUAAAAAACAGUCUGCUUUCUUUCAAAUAUCAGUUAUUAGCAUUUGAAGUCAUUGUAGAAUUCAGAACCCAUAAGUUCAAAUCCUGGCACCACCUAUGUGCACAGAAUCUCGAAACAUAUAAACGGACACACUCAUGAUCGAUAGCAAAGAUUAUUAUACCAUUUAAAUGUGAACACAUAUUAUCUUGUCUUUUCACAUUUUUAUUUGAGCAUAGGUUGUUAAUUUUUGGAGACAAACCUUGUGCUAUGGGGGCCACAAAAGUUUCAAGAAAAUAAUAAGUAGGAGAAUUGGGUCACGAUAGAAAGCACACUGAAGUUGCGGUGCGGUGCGGCUUUGAUAGCUAGCUAGAGUGGGUCAUUUGUACUUUAAUUUCUUUCCUAUUUUGUGUUUUGUCCGUCAGGACCAAAAACUUUUUUGUGGGACAUAAGUAUAUUUCAUAUUAUAAUAUUUCACAAAAUAUGUCUCGUGUCCUUAAAGAAUUUAUGUUCGGCUAGCUAGACAUAAGUUCAAUUGCUUAAGACAAAAAAACAAUAAAAAAUCAACUCAUAUAAAAGAUAAAAAAAAUAAAGAUCAAAUCGUGACAAUGUACAGUUAAAUGCGCUAGAGUCCACACAUCUAUUCAAUUACUCUUUUUUUA
This 83391-nucleotide long non-coding RNA is filed under the name Solanum tuberosum (potato). RNAcentral describes it as "long non-coding RNA (STUB_LNC002994)". The stretch from base 6898 to 6949 matches the Rfam family "MIR1886 microRNA precursor family". The record is from RNAcentral. Lineage: Eukaryota; Viridiplantae; Streptophyta; Magnoliopsida; Solanales; Solanaceae.